Molecule: long non-coding RNA, 71101 nt
Filed under: Oryza sativa (Asian cultivated rice)
Lineage: Eukaryota; Viridiplantae; Streptophyta; Magnoliopsida; Poales; Poaceae
Description: long non-coding RNA (OSAT_LNC000026)
Rfam family: MIR812 microRNA precursor family (bases 29204-29410)
Source: RNAcentral
UGGGUAACUAGACAAGGAUAAAUCUCCCAACCUACGGAAGGAUAAGUCUGUGUCCUACACAAGGAUAAAUCUAGUAACUUAGAAGGAUAAGUGGGAGUCCUCCUGAAAGAUAAUCGUAGUAAAUUUCCAACUAUGACGAAGAAGGAUAAUUCGGGCCACUGCAGAAGGCUAAAUCUAAUAAUCUACGCAAGGAUAAGUCUGUGUGCUAGGAAAGGAAUAAGUGGGAGUCCUACAGAAGGAUAAGUUGGAGUCGUACAGAAGGAUAAUUUCAAUGACUGCAGAAGGAUAAAUAUAGUAAUCUUCCAACUCUGUCGACGAAGGAUAAUUCGGGUCACUAAGGAAGGAUAAAUCUGCCAACCAACCCAAGGAUAAGUCUGUGUCCUACAAAAGGAUAAAUCUAGUAACUUAGAAGGAUAAGUAGAGGUCCUCGUGAAGGAUAAAUCUUGUAAACUUAGAAGGAUAAUUUGGGUAACUAGACAAGGAUAAAUCUCCCAACCUACGAAAGGAUAAGGCUGUGUCUUACACAAGGAUAAAUCUGGUAAACUUAGAAGGAUAAGUGGGAGUCCUCCUGAAACAUAAUCGUAGUGGGAGUCCCAUCACCGUUCCUAUUGACCAAGCGAAAGUCGGUUUUGCCUCCUGAAACAUAAUCGUAGUGGAUUUGCCUAUCUCUGAAUCAGAGAUGCAGAUGCUGGUAGCCCGGUUGUUUAGGGUUCUGGCCAUAAACUUUCUGUUAUCUUUCUAAACAAUUUCACGCAUUUUGUAAUUUUCGUAUACCAAGUUUUUUCUAUCUAUCGUUUAAUAAAACUAGCGUCUAAGCUUUUGGCGGGCUUAGAGCAAAACAGGCCAAAAAACAAUGCAAAAUGCUCUCAGCUCAGGUAUAGUUAUCCUUGUUUGUUAUCCUACAUCCAACUUAUCCGUCUCAAGUUAUCCUUGAUCCAGUUAUCCUUGUCUUCAGUUAUCCGCAUCCAGUUAUCCUUGUCUGCCGUUAUCCUUCACAAGCCCCAACAGCGAUGAUAAGUAUAUAAGCCAUCACAGGUCGCAUAAUAGAGCUCACAAGGUCAGGUAAUAUAAGAACCAACAGCGAUGAUAAUAAUAAGUAUAUAAGCCAUCACAAGUCGAAUAAUAGAGCCCACAGGUUCACGGUAGUAUUUACCACAAAUACCAACAGUUAAAUAGCUGUACACAUUGUUGGCAAAAAAGACCACAGUUCACAUAGCAAAAUACUAAGUGCUAAGAUAGAAAUUCAUCUAGAUAGCUAUUCGAACAAUGCUAAAAUUCCAUCAGGCACAUCUGCAGUGUUUUCCUUGUGCUGGAUAAGGCAUGUCAAAAUCCCUCGACUGUAAGAUUUAAUGUAUUGAUCCCGCAUCUGCAAAUUGGAAAAAAAAACAGAGACAAAUGAAGUUAUAGACAGUAUUUUCAGAACUCCAUAACAGGUUAAAAGGGAAGUUCCGUCACCAGACCUUUUCAUCCCAAGUCAGCUUGUUGAGCACUCCUGCCACACCUAUGAAAUGUUCAAGAAAAUACAUGGCUGCGAACACACUGUCAUUGGGCUGUACACAAGACGGAAAAAAUGACAGAGAUUUUUCAUCAAAUGACACUGUUUUGUAGUUGCAGUCUCCUAAGACUUUGUUUAAUUUCUUUCCCAAAUCCAAAGCGAAAUUUUUAAUUUCGUCGCCACCGUUGUUGCAAAGAAUACCGAUCUGUUUCAUAUUCUUCAGUUGGAAACAGACCACAAUCCAUUCACCAGAGAAUAAGACAGGGCAGUAUAUCUGCAAAAACAAUGUGUAUGUAACACAUCUUGGUUUUUGGAAAUUAACAGUUCCAAAAAAAAAACAUGUAUUGAUGCACAAACUUACAAAUCGAUGAGGAAACUCCACUGCUGAUUUCUUUUCGUUGGAUCCACCGAGUGCAUCUUUAAUCUUUUUCUUCAUACCUCCUUUGCCCUGCACUUAGGGGAAAAUUAAGUACAAGAUAUUCUGUUAUAGUUCUUAAAUUUGCUGGGAAAGCAAUGUUUUUUUACCUUGUAUAGUGGUGGGACAAAGAUCCUGCUGUCAUCAGGAUACGUAUUGUUCUCCAGGUAUUUAAUAAAUAAUGAGAUAAUAUCCCCGGCACACUCAACUUUCUGGAACGACUGUUCUAUUUCAGAACCAGUCAUUGCGAUAGCUCCGAAAUUCAAUAUUACUUGUUCCUUACUUUUCCAAUUGGAAACAUGACACAUCAGUAUAGCAAGUUUUACAGUUAUAUAAUCAUAAAGUUUCGAGAUACAUACCAAUCAGUGGCAAGCUCAUAAACCUCUUUAACUAUCGCAUCAUCAGGCCACUCGCGUCUAGUAGUCUUUAUAGCAGUCCUAACCUCUUUAACUAUCGCAUCAUCAGGCCACUCGCGUCUAGUAGUCUUUAUAGCAGUCCUGGUAGUUGCAAUUCGGCACCUCUUGCCCAGUUGAAUUAAGUCAUUAUCCAAGCUUGACCUGCUCUUCUCUUUCCUUUUCUUCUCUUUCUUCUUUCUAGAAUAAUAAACUAUGUCUUUAUCGAGGGCAUGGGAUGGAUUUUGUUCUCUGCGUGGUGGGGAUGAUGGCACCCCUUUUUCACCUUCAUCCACCUCGUUGCCUCCAGCCUCAUCAUCGCUUGUCCUUGAGCGUUCAUUGUCUGUUCUUGUAUCCAGGGAACUUCCCUCACUGGAUCUGUUGGCCUUCCCUUGAGCUUGGGCAUCGUCCAGCUUCUGGUUACCAUCGCUUGUCCUCGCAUGAUUCGCCUGGUUGCCUGCCUCAGCAUUUUCUGCUAUUCCCACACUGGAUCUGUCAGCCUCCUCUUGGGGUUGGGCAUCUUCCAGAUUCUUGUUACCAUCGCUUGUCCCUGGUGAGGAUGGUGGCAGAGGGCCAUCAUUACGCCCAUCUUCAUGACUCAUGGGGGAUACUGUCAGAUUUGGGCGUGGAGGGGAAUUUCGCAAAUCUGAAGGGGGUGGUGACAAACAUAUGGUGUCGUCCAAAAUGUGAUAUUCAUCUUGAGCUAUGACCUCGUCACUUACAUCCUUAGGAUUGUUGUUAGGAUUCUCAUAUAUGUCCUUCACAAGUUUUUUGCGAUACAUUAAUACAUCAUUCUGCAUUUUUUUGGGCAUAAAAAAGGAACAAACAUGAGUUAUGAAUUGUCUAGGACUUUUAAAAGUAGCCAAAACUGUUAGUUGAAUAGUUGAAUAAAAGGCGUUACACUAACCUCAUUGAUGUCAUCUAUUUUCAUUCUACCAAAUCGUUCCAUAUACAGCAGCAUAUAGAAUCCACAAUCGGAUCUGCAAUAAUCAUUUGCAUAGUUAAGAAUUUCGAUCAUUGACCAUUUAAUGCAAGGGAACUGAUAGCAUCGGUUAUAAGUGAAGGAUAACCCAGCAUAGGAAAACUUGACAACAGAAUCAUAUGAUAAUUUCUAAGGUAAUUUCAUAUGAAAAUUAUUAAGUGAGGAAAGAUAAGCUCUAAGUGAAGAUGAAGAAUUACCCAUUCGUUUGGCUCUUAAGGUUUGGUGUUUUAGUGCUGAAUGAAGAAAAAUCAAUAUGUCCCCCCUUCGCAAAAUAUUUUUCCAACGCCGAUAGCUGAAAGAAUGCAAUAAGGUGAGCUUCCAUAUGCACCCUUUGUAGAACAUUUUAUAAGUUGAAAAGUCAUCUUCUUAAUCUUACCACAGUUUCCGUCGCACUUCUAGUGCCCCGUGAUGGAAGGGAAUCCAGUAUAUACCUUAUUCCAUUCUCAAUGUCCACCACGAGCAAGUACCAAUGUAAACCAGAACCAUCCAAAGCUCGAAUGAGGAUAGGGACAAAUAUCUGGAAAAAAAUAAACUUUGUUUAAUUCAUGGCUUAAUGCAAGAAACGGAACAGGAUGGCAGAAAAGCACAAACCUGCUUCUUUUUGGCUAGGUUAGACAACUCCUUUUCCACAUAGCCUCUGAUUAGGGUUAAACCCAACAGUUCAUUCUGGACACAAUAGAAGAUAUGGUGAACGUUGACAAUAUAAAACAUGUAUAGACAUUACAUGUGCUUAAAUUGAUACUUACCACAGCAGAUUGACUAAGGAUUAUUUUGUCUUUCCAUUCUUCCUCCUCCCUCCAUAUGGAGCAUUGCACGUCCACAAUGAAGUUACUUAUCCAUCCAUUCAGUUUCAUGCUUUUUACAAAAUCAUGUUCUGCAAUGGUAAUGCCAUUAAUAUCCACCGCAGCCUUAUUGCCGAAAUGUUUCUGUUCCCAAUCGGCUUUUGACAUAAUGUGUUUUGAAUAGAACUCAUCCAAAUCUUUAUAUCUGAAAAAAAAACCAAGCCUUUAUUAAGAAAACUGUGUUAUAGUAAAGGGGAAAAAAACGAAAAGGAUAAUCCCUCACGGCAUGCUUAGUCAGAUCUGACCCAUUCUCACUACUGCCCCACACUUCAUUCUUGCCAACCCAGACCCAGCCAACAUACUCUCUCUCCAAUCAGUCCCCCGAUAUGGCAAAGCUCUGGGAGGACCUAUUCCUUAUCCACUGAAGAAACUAAUCAAGACAUGGCACUGGAGAGAUGGAAGUGUGCUCGUGGGUUGAACAACAGAAAUCAGAGAGGAGCCUAAAAUGGUUUUGGAACUUUAAGGACCAAAUAUAACUGGUAUUGCUCAUGAGAGACUAACCUGUCUACCAAGCUUUCCAUUUUCGAGGGCAUCUGUGACUGAGUCUUCAUGAUCUUCUCAUACAUCUCUACAAUCGACGAAUGAUUUUGCUUUACAAUCUUGAUAGCGUCGCUGUGCAGAUAACGAGGCAUGUGCUCCAAAGAAGAUUUAACAAAAUCCUCUAAUGCAGGAAUGUGCGCAACCAUGUCGUUCUUGGCACCACUGUCUUUCUCAGCUCUCUCACCAUAUCUUUUCACAACUUCCUUUCUUCUUACCGCGGGGUUGACAUGCGUGCCCUUUUCUUCUUUAUCCCCUUUUUCGCCUUUGUUUUUGCCAAGACGAGUGCGCUUAUUUUUCUGAAAAGGAGCAGGGAUAGUGUAUUCAAGUGUAUGUAUUAUAUAGGAACAAUGAUAUGUUGAAUUUAGAACCAAUAUUCUUACAUACUUUCUGCUUUCCAGACACUUUCUGCACCUUCACCUUCUCACAUUCAUUAUAGCUUCUUGAAUAACAGGUCUCUUCGGUUGUGCGAAACUGAAAAUGGGGCAUGGAUUAAGUGUGUUUGACUGUAACAUUACAGGAACAAUGGCAUAAUGCUUAAAAAUCAGAUUCUUACCUUGAGGUUGUCAAACCUCUUGCCAUCCUUUUGCAUAGUUUCCUGCACCAAAUCGGUCACCAUAGAUUCGCCGUAGUAACAAAUUCUUGGCGUCUGAGAGACAUCGCUUUCGGAUUUUGACUUUAGGAAGUCCAAGUAAUAUAACUGUAGGCAUAAGUUUACCGUUAGAUAAAUUUACUAUUAAUGAUGAAAAAAUAAUGGUUUUAAAGAUACUUACAAGAAGCACAGUCACAGGACCACUUAUGUAUACAGACGCGACACCACCAGGCUUGGUUGAUUUGGCACCAGGCUUGGUUGAUUUGGCUUGCGAUUUCCACCAUGAUUUAACACCAUCUUUUAAAUGGUUGAGAAGAACCUUGCGCCAAUUAAUUCUUUGUAUCCUUGCAAGGUUCAUACCCGCUUGCAUCUGGUGUAGAGUGAGAUAACCAUCCUUUUCUGGGAGCAGCAGUGUAUGGAAUGCGAUGAAGAAGAAGCACUUAACUUCCAGCUCAACAUCUUUGGUCUCCUUGGCUUCUUCCAUCACAUCACGUAAAUAAUCAACGCCAAUCUUGCCAUUCAUAAUAGUUUUAUGUUUUCUAUCCCUUUUCUUUUCAUCUGCAAUGGGCUCACAAUCAUCAACACUGUCAGGGAGCUUCAACAAAUUGUGAACAGCUUUCUUGAUUUCUCCUUGCUUCUUAGUGUCCUGCUCAAAUUCAAGGCUCUCACCAGAACCUUCAGGAACACCAACAACAUGUGCCACCACAUUCUCCGUGAUGGGGGGUAACUUAGAUCCUUCAAUCUUAAUCUCAACACCUUCAGAUGUUUGUUCUGUAUGUGUAUUGUUCAUAAGAAACCUCAAUAUCUCUCUGUUACCAAAACCCUCUAAGGACAUAUACAGUAACUGCUCAAAGCCUGCUGUUAUAACCACGUUCCGUGCAUCUGAUGACAGUUCCUGAGCUGCUAAAAUGACGCUGUUCGGACUGGACCGCGUAUGAAUCUUGGGAUCCUUCAUUUCAACCUCUGCAGUAGAAGCCUCCCCCUCUUUGGUAGCAUCAGCAUCCCCCUCUUCAGUAGAAGCAGCCUCGUCUUCUUUGAUAGCAUCAGCAUCCCCCUCUUCAGUAGAAGCAGCCUCGCCCAUAUUUGCAACCUCUAAAUUCACCUCCUCUCCAGAUCCCUCCCUCCCAGAAGGGCCCAUUGAUUCUCUGCACAAUCCAAGAUAAAUGUCAAGACAGAAAGCAAUAAGGAUGAACUCGUGGAUAAAUGCAUGAAUACAUGGAUUUGAGUGACAUUUGUGUAUCUAUUCUAUACAUACGUGAAUACAUGGAUUUGAGAAGCUCAACAUAAGUCCUUGUGUUUGUGCCAGUUCCUAUUCAGAUGCAAGCAAGUACUGACCAGCCGCCACAGACGAAGGAACACCAGGGGAAGAAUAAAUAGAUAAAGGAUAAACAGACGCCUAGACCCUGAACCCUAAGCCCGGAUAACCACAGUCGAAGGAUAACCAGGGGAAGGAUAAAUAGAUAAGGAUAAACAGACGCCAUCCCCGAUUAUCCUCACAUCAGACGCCUAGACCCUAAACACAUCAGAAAAAGGAUAAACACAGUCGAAGGAUAAACCAAAUCUUGACUUACCAAAGUGAUCACAGUUUCCCGUGCGCUCGGGGAAGGAGAGCCGGAGGUAAUCGUGGAGGAACGUCGGGGCACGGAGCGUCGGGUGAGGAUCGUCGGGUGAGGCUUCUGGCAAGAAGGUGAGGAAGCAAAGAGGUGAGGAAGCUUCGAAAUUUUGGGUGGGGAACUGGCGGUUUUGUUUAAAUGGAAUCGGAAUGGUUUUCUGUUUCGCAAAAAAAAAACGACAAUGUAAAAAAAAACGCGUGUAAAAAAAAAAGAACACUGCCGCAGCCGAGGCCCGUGCCCUCGCCGGUGGCCAUCGGCCUGCUGCGCCGCCGCAGCCGCGCGUUUGGCCAGCCCGCGCCACAGGUGCCUAGCUGGCAGCCGCGCGCCAACGCCGUAGCAGCCGCUCGCCUCGUUGCUCCCGUGCUGUGCUCUGCUCAUGGCCUGACUUAGAAAGGGGGCCGGGGGAGGCAGGGAAGCCCGGCGGCGGCGGCGGCGGCGCAGCAGGCCGAUGGCCACCGGCGAGGGCACGGGCCUCGGCUGCGGCAGUGUUCUUUUUUUUUUUACACGCGUUUUUUUUACAUUGUCGUUUUUUUUUUGCGAAACAGAAAACCAUUCCGAUUCCAUUUAAACAAAACCGCCAGUUCCCCACCCAAAAUUUCGAAGCUUUCUGACCUCUUUGCUUCCUCACCUUCUUGCCAGAAGCCUCACCCGACGAUCCUCACCCGACGCUCCGUGCCCCGACGUUCCUCCACGAUUACCUCCGGCUCUCCUUCCCCGAGCGCACGGGAAACUGUGAUCACUUUGGUAAGUCAAGAUUUGGUUUAUCCUUCGACUGUGUUCAUCCUUCGACUGUGUUUAUCCUUUUUCUGAUGUGUUUAGGGUCUAGGCGUCUGAUGUGAGGAUAAUCGGGGAUGGCGUCUGUUUAUCCUUAUCUAUUUAUCCUUCCCCUGGUUAUCCUUCGACUGUGGUUAUCCGGGCUUAGGGUUCAGGGUCUAGGCGUCUGUUUAUCCUUUAUCUAUUUAUUCUUCCCCUGGUGUUCCUUCGUCUGUGGCGGCUGGUCAGUACUUGCUUGCAUCUGAAUAGGAACUGGCACAAACACAAGGACUUAUGUUGAGCUUCUCAAAUCCAUGUAUUCACGUAUGUAUAGAAUAGAUACACAAAUGUCACUCAAAUCCAUGUAUUCAUGCAUUUAUCCACGAGUUCAUCCUUAUUGCUUUCUGUCUUGACAUUUAUCUUGGAUUGUGCAGAGAAUCAAUGGGCCCUUCUGGGAGGGAGGGAUCUGGAGAGGAGGUGAAUUUAGAGGUUGCAAAUAUGGGCGAGGCUGCUUCUACUGAAGAGGGGGAUGCUGAUGCUAUCAAAGAAGACGAGGCUGCUUCUACUGAAGAGGGGGAUGCUGAUGCUACCAAAGAGGGGGAGGCUUCUACUGCAGAGGUUGAAAUGAAGGAUCCCAAGAUUCAUACGCGGUCCAGUCCGAACAGCGUCAUUUUAGCAGCUCAGGAACUGUCAUCAGAUGCACGGAACGUGGUUAUAACAGCAGGCUUUGAGCAGUUACUGUAUAUGUCCUUAGAGGGUUUUGGUAACAGAGAGAUAUUGAGGUUUCUUAUGAACAAUACACAUACAGAACAAACAUCUGAAGGUGUUGAGAUUAAGAUUGAAGGAUCUAAGUUACCCCCCAUCACGGAGAAUGUGGUGGCACAUGUUGUUGGUGUUCCUGAAGGUUCUGGUGAGAGCCUUGAAUUUGAGCAGGACACUAAGAAGCAAGGAGAAAUCAAGAAAGCUGUUCACAAUUUGUUGAAGCUCCCUGACAGUGUUGAUGAUUGUGAGCCCAUUGCAGAUGAAAAGAAAAGGGAUAGAAAACAUAAAACUAUUAUGAAUGGCAAGAUUGGCGUUGAUUAUUUACGUGAUGUGAUGGAAGAAGCCAAGGAGACCAAAGAUGUUGAGCUGGAAGUUAAGUGCUUCUUCUUCAUCGCAUUCCAUACACUGCUGCUCCCAGAAAAGGAUGGUUAUCUCACUCUACACCAGAUGCAAGCGGGUAUGAACCUUGCAAGGAUACAAAGAAUUAAUUGGCGCAAGGUUCUUCUCAACCAUUUAAAAGAUGGUGUUAAAUCAUGGUGGAAAUCGCAAGCCAAAUCAACCAAGCCUGGUGCCAAAUCAACCAAGCCUGGUGGUGUCGCGUCUGUAUACAUAAGUGGUCCUGUGACUGUGCUUCUUGUAAGUAUCUUUAAAACCAUUAUUUUUUCAUCAUUAAUAGUAAAUUUAUCUAACGGUAAACUUAUGCCUACAGUUAUAUUACUUGGACUUCCUAAAGUCAAAAUCCGAAAGCGAUGUCUCUCAGACGCCAAGAAUUUGUUACUACGGCGAAUCUAUGGUGACCGAUUUGGUGCAGGAAACUAUGCAAAAGGAUGGCAAGAGGUUUGACAACCUCAAGGUAAGAAUCUGAUUUUUAAGCAUUAUGCCAUUGUUCCUGUAAUGUUACAGUCAAACACACUUAAUCCAUGCCCCAUUUUCAGUUUCGCACAACCGAAGAGACCUGUUAUUCAAGAAGCUAUAAUGAAUGUGAGAAGGUGAAGGUGCAGAAAGUGUCUGGAAAGCAGAAAGUAUGUAAGAAUAUUGGUUCUAAAUUCAACAUAUCAUUGUUCCUAUAUAAUACAUACACUUGAAUACACUAUCCCUGCUCCUUUUCAGAAAAAUAAGCGCACUCGUCUUGGCAAAAACAAAGGCGAAAAAGGGGAUAAAGAAGAAAAGGGCACGCAUGUCAACCCCGCGGUAAGAAGAAAGGAAGUUGUGAAAAGAUAUGGUGAGAGAGCUGAGAAAGACAGUGGUGCCAAGAACGACAUGGUUGCGCACAUUCCUGCAUUAGAGGAUUUUGUUAAAUCUUCUUUGGAGCACAUGCCUCGUUAUCUGCACAGCGACGCUAUCAAGAUUGUAAAGCAAAAUCAUUCGUCGAUUGUAGAGAUGUAUGAGAAGAUCAUGAAGACUCAGUCACAGAUGCCCUCGAAAAUGGAAAGCUUGGUAGACAGGUUAGUCUCUCAUGAGCAAUACCAGUUAUAUUUGGUCCUUAAAGUUCCAAAACCAUUUUAGGCUCCUCUCUGAUUUCUGUUGUUCAACCCACGAGCACACUUCCAUCUCUCCAGUGCCAUGUCUUGAUUAGUUUCUUCAGUGGAUAAGGAAUAGGUCCUCCCAGAGCUUUGCCAUAUCGGGGGACUGAUUGGAGAGAGAGUAUGUUGGCUGGGUCUGGGUUGGCAAGAAUGAAGUGUGGGGCAGUAGUGAGAAUGGGUCAGAUCUGACUAAGCAUGCCGUGAGGGAUUAUCCUUUUCGUUUUUUUCCCCUUUACUAUAACACAGUUUUCUUAAUAAAGGCUUGGUUUUUUUUUCAGAUAUAAAGAUUUGGAUGAGUUCUAUUCAAAACACAUUAUGUCAAAAGCCGAUUGGGAACAGAAACAUUUCGGCAAUAAGGCUGCGGUGGAUAUUAAUGGCAUUACCAUUGCAGAACAUGAUUUUGUAAAAAGCAUGAAACUGAAUGGAUGGAUAAGUAACUUCAUUGUGGACGUGCAAUGCUCCAUAUGGAGGGAGGAGGAAGAAUGGAAAGACAAAAUAAUCCUUAGUCAAUCUGCUGUGGUAAGUAUCAAUUUAAGCACAUGUAAUGUCUAUACAUGUUUUAUAUUGUCAACGUUCACCAUAUCUUCUAUUGUGUCCAGAAUGAACUGUUGGGUUUAACCCUAAUCAGAGGCUAUGUGGAAAAGGAGUUGUCUAACCUAGCCAAAAAGAAGCAGGUUUGUGCUUUUCUGCCAUCCUGUUCCGUUUCUUGCAUUAAGCCAUGAAUUAAACAAAGUUUAUUUUUUUCCAGAUAUUUGUCCCUAUCCUCAUUCGAGCUUUGGAUGGUUCUGGUUUACAUUGGUACUUGCUCGUGGUGGACAUUGAGAAUGGAAUAAGGUAUAUACUGGAUUCCCUUCCAUCACGGGGCACUAGAAGUGCGACGGAAACUGUGGUAAGAUUAAGAAGAUGACUUUUCAACUUAUAAAAUGUUCUACAAAGGGUGCAUAUGGAAGCUCACCUUAUUGCAUUCUUUCAGCUAUCGGCGUUGGAAAAAUAUUUUGCGAAGGGAGGACAUAUUGAUUUUUCUUCAUUCAGCACUAAAACACCAAACCUUAAGAGCCAAACGAAUGGGUAAUUCUUCAUCUUCACUUAGAGCUUAUCUUUCCUCACUUAAUAAUUUUCAUAUGAAAUUACCUUAGAAAUUAUCAUAUGAUUCUGUUGUCAAGUUUUCCUAUGCUGGGUUAUCCUUCACUUAUAACCGAUGCUAUCAGUUCCCUUGCAUUAAAUGGUCAAUGAUCGAAAUUCUUAACUAUGCAAAUGAUUAUUGCAGAUCCGAUUGUGGAUUCUAUAUGCUGCUGUAUAUGGAACGAUUUGGUAGAAUGAAAAUAGAUGACAUCAAUGAGGUUAGUGUAACGCCUUUUAUUCAACUAUUCAACUAACAGUUUUGGCUACUUUUAAAAGUCCUAGACAAUUCAUAACUCAUGUUUGUUCCUUUUUUAUGCCCAAAAAAAUGCAGAAUGAUGUAUUAAUGUAUCGCAAAAAACUUGUGAAGGACAUAUAUGAGAAUCCUAACAACAAUCCUAAGGAUGUAAGUGACGAGGUCAUAGCUCAAGAUGAAUAUCACAUUUUGGACGACACCAUAUGUUUGUCACCACCCCCUUCAGAUUUGCGAAAUUCCCCUCCACGCCCAAAUCUGACAGUAUCCCCCAUGAGUCAUGAAGAUGGGCGUAAUGAUGGCCCUCUGCCACCAUCCUCACCAGGGACAAGCGAUGGUAACAAGAAUCUGGAAGAUGCCCAACCCCAAGAGGAGGCUGACAGAUCCAGUGUGGGAAUAGAUCUGGGUUUGUGUGUCUACUACCUUUGAUGUCACUGAGCUCACCACAAAAAUCCUUAACUCCCUAAAUGCAACUGAAAGCCAAGGGACCAAUAUUAGAGAAUCCAGUUUAGAUCAGCUUCAUAAAUCCAUUCAAGACAAGUUGAAAUCCAAAAGGUUUCUAAUCGUCUUUGAUGAUAUAUGGGAACACGACUUUAGUAAGGCUGCAUCCACAAAAAGAUUUAGCAAGACUGAGUGGGAAAAGUUGUUAGCUCCAUUUGGACCGGGAGAGACCAAUGGCAACAUGGUUCUGGUCACAACUCGGUUCCCAAAGGUAGCAGAAACAGUCAAGAAAGGAGCCAAUCAAGUUGAUCUACAUGGGCUGGAGCCUGAUGAGUUUUGGGACUUCUUUCAACUGUGUGCAUUUAGUGAAACCCAAGAUGACAAUGAUAAAGAAAAAUUAUUUGACAUUGGAAAACAAAUAGCAAAGAAGUUGAAGUGCUCCCCACUGGCUGCCAAAACAGUUGGACCACUAUUGCGUAAGAAACCCACCAGGAAACAUUGGAUGGAAAUUCUUGAAAAGGAAGAAUGGCUAAAACAAAAGGAUGGCGAUGAUAGUAUUAUCACUGCCUUGAAAAUUAGCUAUGACUACCUCCCCUUUUAUUUGAAAAAAUGUUUUUCAUAUCUUGCCCUUUUCCCUGAGGAUUAUGAGUUUGAUAGUUUAGAGAUUAGUUGUUAUUGGGACUCAAUAGGUAUCAUCAAUUCCAGUGGUAAGAAUGAUACAAUUGAGGGCAUUGGAUCACAGUAUUUGAAUGAACUAUACGAUAAUGGUUUUCUAAUGAAAGGGGAUGAUAAUCACUACGUAAUGCAUGACUUACUGCAUGAACUUUCGCAGAUUGUUUCAUCAAGAGAAUGCGCAAAUAUAAAUUACUCUAGUUUUAGAGCUGAUGACAUCCUUCCAUCUAUUCGCCAUCUGUCCAUUACCAUACAAGAUAAAUAUACUGAGAGUUUUAAAGAGGAAAUGGAAAAAAUAAAGAAAAGGGUUGACAUUAGAAAUUUGCGUAGUGUGAUGAUCUUUGGAAGUUACAGAAGUAGAAGAAUUGCUAAUGUGGUAAGAGACACGUUAAAUGAAAUAAGGGCACUUCGUGUUCUCUUCAUAUUUAUGAAUUCCCCACAUUCCUUGCCUGAUAACUUUUCGAAACUUGUCCACCUCCGCUACCUAAAAAUUGGAUCACCGUGGGGGUUCAAAGUGUGUAUUCCUAGCACAGUGUCCAAGCUUUAUCACUUGAAAUUCUUGGAUCUCAAAUCCUGGGGUGGUAGUAACAAUAAUUUGCCUAACGACUUUAACCGCCUUAUAAACCUACGCCAUUUUCUUGCUAAAAAAGAAUUCCAUUCCAAUGUUCCUGAGGUUGGGAAAAUGAAGUGUUUACAAGAGCUCAAAGAAUUCCAUGUCAAGAAAGACAAGAUUGGAUUUGAACUGGCACAACUGGGACAGUUGGAACAGCUUAGAGGGGAGCUCUGUAUAUUUGGCCUUAAAAAUGCAACUAGGGAAGAAGCUAUUGAAGCUAAAUUGAAGCAUAAAAGUAACCUAAGCAAGUUGCGAUUAGAUCGUGGUGGUAAUAGAGAGAAGAAUACAUCCUCCUCCUCCUCCAGGACACAAGUUGUUAGCAAUGAAAAUCAGGACGAUGAUAUUAUUCUUGAUAGCCUUCAACCGCACUCUAAUCUUACAGAACUAAGCAUCGUAAAUCUUGGUGGUGGCAUGGCUCCAAGUUGGUUGGGCAGCAACAUCAUCCACUUGGAUACCCUCCACCUAGAUGGUGUACCUUGGGCCACUCUUGCACCGUUUGGGAAAAUACAAUAUCUUAGGGAGCUCAAGCUAAGAAAUAUCGUUGGGAUGUACCACACACACUAGUUUUAGACACCUGAAGAAGAUUGUGUUUGAGGCUAUGCCAGACUUUGUAAAGUGGGUUGGGGGAGACGAUAAUUCCCAUUCUUUCUUCUCAGGACUUGAAAGGCUCGACUGCAUUUCUUGUCCCAAGCUUAAUGAGUUGCCAUUAUCGAGUUGCUCUAGCUCAUCUUGUACCAUGUGGUUUCCUAAGCUGCGCCGUUUGAACAUUACCCGGUGCUUGGAGCUGUCUGUCCCUCUUGUGCCUCACACCUCCACACUGACAUAUGUUCGUGUAAAUGAUUCCGUUCGUGGUUUUAAUACUAGCAAAAAGUUGACACUCGACGGCUACAAUGGUGCUUUGGCCUUCCAAAAUCUGGGUAAUCUUGAGGAGAUCUACAUUGGAGAUGUACAUAACAUGUCAUUAAUAGAUUUCCAGCAGCUACGCUCCCUACGGAGGCUGACGGUUACGCUUUGCAGGGAUACGUUCUUGAGAGGACUGGAUGAGCAUGUUGUAGUCGUAUUCAAUUCAGUUAGAGUCCUCAAUCUCUCUGGAUUUUUACUUACAAGAAAGAUGCUGUCAAAUUUGUUCAGAUGCUUCCCAGCUCUCUAUGUGCUGUCUAUGUCACCUUCCAAAGAGAGCCAUGAGGAGGUAAAACUGCAGAUCCCAUCCUCCUGCUCACUCAAGACGAUCCGGCUUUUUAAGUGCAAGAACCUGAUUCUGCCGCCUCUUGAUGAUGGACAAGGACUUGUCAAUCUCACGUCGCUCCGAAAUUUACAUAUAGAUGAUUGUGGCAAAAUAUUCUCUCAGUGGUACAUGGGAAAACCAGCUCAAACAACAAGUAACCCUUUCCCUUCUUCCCUCCUCGAACUUAGCAUUUGCCGAGAGUCAAGAAUACAUUCAAUGGCUUUGCUCUCAAACCUCACAGCUCUCACCAGUCUACAACUAAUAGAUUGCUGCAAUGUAACAAUGGAUGGAUUUAAUCCUCUUAUCACAUCAAAUCUGAACAAGCUGUGCAUCUCUUCUUGUGGCUCUGCUCCCGCGGACCUACUCGCCGAGAUGGCAAGGACCAAAACAACAAUGCCUCAAGUUGCCUUCCAAUUGAAAGAUCUUGUGGUGGACAGCAUAUCGGCAGUGCUUACUGCUCCCAUAUGCAGCUUCCUCGCCCCUACUCUUCACGAAUUAGGCAUCAAAGACGAUGUUGACAGGGUCUCAAGCUUCAGCGACGAACAAGAGGGGGCACUUGAGCUACUUGUCUCCCUCAAAAAACUAUCAUUUGAUGGUUUAUGGGUUCUGCAGUCCCUCCCUGAAGGGUUACAUAAGUUUCCUUCUCUCACUGAGCUAAGUAUCAGCCAUUGUCCUCAAAUCCAAUCGCUUCCAAAGAAUGGCCUCCCAACUUCCCUAGAAACGUUUUCAGUAUUUAUCUGCAGCAGCGCACUCGAAGAGGAAAGCAAAAGAUUCACAGAAGAGAAAGAAAGAUACUACUCAGAAUCAGACGACUAGAUACAUACAUUCUCCACCAUGGUAAAUCCUGUUUGUUAAUCUGCAUUACCAGAUGAGUACUAUUCUGUAACUGUAAUUUGACGGCUUAUUAACUCUUUCCACCCUGUCCCCUUGGUUAUUAGGGCUCUAUACGGCAUCAGCAUUGCUUUUGUCCACCACAAUGUGUGUGUCGGGUGAGAAUCAGAUGUCAUCCAUUGAUCCAUGCGCACAACUCUGAACGUUAGUAAACAAAAUCUAGUUCUUUUUUUUUUCUGAAUCCACAUUCUUAUUUUUCUUAAUACAAUUUGGAAAUAUUUUCUUCUGUCCUCAUAAUAUGUUGAGCUUCGUUUCCGUUGAAAACAGGGCAAAACAGUUUGUACGUAUGUUGCAUGGUAUAUAUAUCGAAAACCAACGCAUAACCAAACUCUCCAUUCUGGAAAUUGUGCUUCAUGAUGCACAUUAGUAUGAUAUAAGCACAUCAUCAUUUAUCAGGAGCAUCUGGAGGUCUGAUACCUACAGGCGUAUGCCUACUGCAAAUUAUGGUUAGUUGUGAGAAGAGUCUCUGCUUGCUGUUUAUAUACUUUCUCCGUUUCAUAUCAUAAGACAGAGAUAGAAAUUUAUUCAUCCAUCUUUUUUUUUUUGCGGGGAGUUUAUUCAUCCAUCAGUUUGUUCAUGUGAAGGUUGUAAUGACCCCGUUCCACAAUUUGAGUUAUUGCCGAUGCUGGCUAGUUGAAAUCUUCAUGUCCCUCGGGCUCGCUGGGUUCACUGAUGCCGUCUACUCCGUCGUGCUGCAGGCAAGCCUCCCAAUAUUACAUUGCUACCUCUUCCCUAUCCUGCAUCCAUUUCCUGCGCUGUUCAUGUUUUUUUCUGGAGUCAAAUUUAUACUCAUGUAAUUUGUCAAACUGGAUAACAGAUGAUUUCUUGCCUACAACUCCGGCGCCUCUGCAACACAUCAUCAGAUCAAAUUUCUGGUAAACGGUUAAGCAUUCUCUGUUAUGUAUAACUGCGUUGAUUCUUACUAGUUUCAGCAGCUGAUUUUGAAAGACCAAGAACGGCUAUAGGGGGGGUGAAUAUAGCAAUUCAAAUCUUGCCCCCGAAAAUACUCAUCAAGCUGGAUUUCUCAAAAUCCUUACUAGAACCACGGCUAUUAGAGAAGCCGGAUCUAGAAAAGAAGAGAGAAGGAAUUCCCGAAACUAGAAGAGGAAGAGAAAAGGAAUUCCCGAAACUACAAGAGAGGUGAGGAGGAGAGAACAAAACUCAUAAUCGCAAAGUUUAAAUUGCAAGCGGAAUUUAAAUUGCGGAAUUUAAAUGAACAAGGCAAAAACGAAAUCCUUCAAAUCAUUUCAUUCAUAGGUGAUGCAAAAUAACCGCUCAACUAGGAGCAGACAUACACCUUCAGAGAAACAUUAACACAAACUUAAAAUCUCUCGGACAAACACACUCCAAACUAAUCCUAAUACAAAAGCCUCUCGGGCAAACACACUCCAAACUCACACGGAAACUCUCUCACUGAACAUCUCAAAAGGAUUACCAAAAGGAGCAACCUCCACCCUUGCAUCCAUCUCUCUAUUUAUAGUCUAAGACCCCCAAGACAUUGUCUCAAAUGCCCUUAGGGUGAUGCCCUAGCCUAGAUGAAAUCCCAGCCAUUUGUUCUUACUUCUCCUCAAAGGAAAUCCUCCAGAUGAAAUCCACGUCAUCGAUCCGAAGUCUCCACACUGAUCCGAAGGUAUCAAUCCGUGCCUUCUCCUCUUGACAAAUCCGAGCUUGCCACGUUGUCCGUCGAAAUCCCACGCACGCGAGCCCGCGCGCUCGUCCGCGUGCCCAGUCCGAAGCCGCCACGUCGCCGUCCUUCAGUGCGCACCGCGCGCUCUGCUUCCCGCGCGCUCCAUCCAAAUUCCCGCGCGAGUCGCUUCCUUCCGCGUCGCCGAAAACACGUGAGUUCCACACCCGCGCACGCCGUGUUGGGCCGUCAUGUCUUGGGCCUCCUCGGCCUGGCCCUCCAAGCCGUGAAUGGCACUUGGCCACGUGCACACACACAGCUCCAGCUUGCCGUGUGCAUGGCCAUGCACUGUCCCUAGUGCAUGCAUGCCUUGGCUGCACCACCGAUCCAUGUAUGUGAUCAUGACACACAUGCAUGCUGCACGUCUUUGUCUCUUCCAAUUUUCUUCGCGACACACGGCGCUUGCACUUGACCUUGCGAAGUCCGUUGCAAAAACCUCCUCACACGGUGUCCGUCCACCGUGUGCAACCUUAUAUCCAAUCUUGUCACCCGGCAUCCUCGAUCACUUUGGACCUUAACUCCUCCCUAAGUCUAGUCCCGAUCCGCCGUUGACCAAGAUCGACCCCGAUCACCUGCACACACAUGAACCAAACAACCGUUGUCUUGGCACAGAUGUCGCAAUCAGACCAAUGUUAGUUCACGCACACACUUCUUGCACUUCCGGUACUUAUCAAUUUCCCAUCACAAAAGAACUAUAACCACACAUGGUUUCACAGAUUCACCAUUUGUAUACCUUUUCUCUACGGCUUGAAUUGCAGUUUUUGCCGUGCCUCUGUCUUCCAUUUUGGCAUGAGACGUGUUUGUGUCAGAAGAGAAGCUUAAUUAUUAAGGAUGCAUUUAAACUCUAUGCUCCCGCCAUAAUAUUUCAUAUCCAUCCUGUAGCGGGAGAACUGCAGGUACAUUACAUACACUAUUUGAGUACCCACAAAUUUCAGCAGCAACGUUAACAAGCUACUAAUGAAAUUCUGAAGCUUUAUACUCGAUUCGGACUUUCCGACGGAGAGGAGGUUGCUGCUCCAGCGUCUUCCUCAUCUGGUGAUGUUCAUCCAAAUUAAUCUCUUCCAUCCCUUUCCAUUUCCCUUUCACAUUUUUUUAGAUAAUGGAUUUUCAUUAAUCCGGCCUCUAUAUCCACAAGGAUAUACACAGCCAAAUUUCCCUUUCACAUGAUGUGCAGUACAUGUGUUGAUCAAUGACUAUUUGUUCUCAGACAGGUCUAAUUAAGAAGAUCCGUUCCAUGUGACUGGCUUGUCUGCUUCAUUUCAUUUCAUGGAUCUAGCUUUCAGUACAUUUUAGGGAUGUAAGACAAAUUGUGAGUGCUGCUGCUUUUUAUGUUCUGUAAGAAAUUGAGUUAUUUGGAUAUUCCUGAAUGGAUCGAACUAAUUAACUCUUCUUUAUGUGCAUCACAUUACUUCCGCAUUGCACAAAAAAUCAGUGGAUUCUGAGGAGGGUUUGCACUUGUCGGAUUGGAUAACAAAGCUGAAGAACAGAUCACCAUUGGUUAUUGCCGAGGCAUUGCGCUUCCUGCACCUGCACGAUGAGUGUAGUCCACUAUUUGGUUCACAGGUAUGCCUAGUGAUAUUAUUGGCAUCUUACUUCUUAGUUAUAAUUUGCUAAGAUGAAGUGCAACUUGGUUGGUUUAGAGUAUAAAGUGCAAAUGAUUGUUAUUCAUGUGCAUAUGGUUAAUUUGUUCACAACUUUUUUUUUUUGAAACCUAAGCCAGCAUUGCUGGUUUUAUAUUAAGAGAGGGAGAAAUUGUACAAACAAGAGACAAUGACCCAGUUUAUAAGGGAAACUGGGCCCGAAAAUCAUCAUGCGCGAUAUGUUGUACUAGGAAAUAAGGAAAGUAGUGUGCAAGGACAGUAAAGUAUAUAAUUCAUCCCUUGGAAAUGGUUUCACUCCGUGUGUUACUUCACAUAGGUCAAAUUUCAGUAGUUUAUAGUGUUUAAUUACAAAACAUGGAGGCAUUAAGUUUUACAAUUUUAUUCUCAUAUGGUAUCUACAACUCUAUGAGAGCUCACCAAGCUCAAGAAGAAUCUGUUCUUACUAAUUUCAUGGCUUCAUAUAAAUCUCUCAGUUGCAUGUAACAGACUACAUCUAGCAAAAAAAGAAUUUCAGCAUUACAAAUAAUAAAGCACUGGUUAUGAAUUCCGACAGGCUUUAUGAGUUUCAGAAUAUAUGUACCUGAAGAAGGCGGAGACGGAGAGUGAUCCUGUUGUGGCACAGGAAACGGGCUGGCCUGCUGGAACAGGGGACUGUGCUAAUUUCAAGUGGUGGCUAAUUUCAUCACCGGAUGGAUGACUAUGACGGCGCCGGCGAAAAAUGACAGCAUCGAAGAAGGGGACUGAGGAGACGAUGGGGAACAACCAGAUGAUUAUAAACCAAAGCCGGGUGGCUUCUCCUUGCUGCGUGUUGGUCCGGGAAUCAAAAUGAGGUUUAUAUUCCGCAGUGGAUAUUUGAGAAAAUAAUCACUGGGCAAGAACUGGAAGCAACCAGGGAAUAGACGCAAUAAAACUGGCCAUUGUGGCGUUAUGGUGCAUACAGUGGAACCCCAAGAAUCACCCAUCUAUGAAAAAGGUGGUCAACAUGCUAACAGGAAGCUUGCAGAGUUUAGCCAUGCCCCCUAAGCCUUUUGUUUCAUCUCUGGGCCACCCUAGGCCACAAAUCUAGGGAAACAUUUACUACGGCUCAAAGAUGUUUGAGACUUGUGCGUCAUAGAAAUAGCUACUGUGAUGCCACGUUUGGUUUCAUGCAAGUUAGGUUUGACUAUACUUGAGUAUGCCAUAAGAUGUUCAAAUAACUUGCAACCCAGCAGUUGGCACUUGACAGGUUUAAUCUGAGGUCGCUGCUCACUUCAUUGUGUAAUUUAACUCAUUGCAUCUGUUUUUCGACUAAGUUAUCUUUGUGACUGCUAUCAUGCAAUGUACAAGGCAAAGCCUUGGAUGCAUACAAUGAACAAUCAUGUGCUCAAGAGUCAAGAGGUUAGUUUCUUACAGCGAUUUGUCGUUCCUGCCGCAUUUCUCCACACAUCAUGGUAUGCAGAACAGCCACCCGACCCGACCUAGAGAUCCGUAAUGCCACCGUUCAUGGAUGAGUCACUGGAACUGCUACAAAUCUGUACGUAGUUAGGCACUUGUAGUGUGAUAAACUGAAGAUAUGAAGAGAGAAGAAAACGAACAAGGCUCACCUUUCUCGAUGAGGAGGAGGGAGAACGACGAGCAUUUCCUGGAGGACGCGGCGGCGCUCCGGCGAACUAAAUCCAUAGAGGGACCGGCCGCCAGUCCAGAUCGAUCGCCGGCCGCGGGAUCAGUGGCGGGGGGCGGCGCCGCACGGAGGAAGGAAGAGGAUGGGGUUUUCCUUUUUUUUUUUGUGAGGUUGUAUUUUGUCGAUUUGGGCCCUCAUCUAUCAACGAGCCCAACCAAAAUGGGCCUUACGUAAGUCUCAGUCACGUUAUUGGGCCAGAUGUAACCGAGAUCCCGUUCCGACCCAAUAAAUCUUAUUCUUGGGCCAGAAUUCCAGCCGCGGGCCGCUUAAGCCAGGCCGUGGCGGCGUCGUUCUCGACUCCGGCGCCGCCGGAGGCUGAGCACCGUGGCGUCGCCGCUGCCGCCGCCGCCGCGGCUCUCCAGAUGAGGGGGGGGGGGGAGGGAGAGGCGGAUCAUAUCGGAGAUGGAGCGCACGGUGGUGGCCGGCGUCGAUCGGCUCAAUGCGAGCCACGGGGGCACUCUCCCGACUUCUCAUGGUCCCCGAUCCCCUCGCCCUCGCCGACCUGGUGUGCUUUCAGCGAGGCUGGCAUUCAUGUGCAGCAGCUUGCAGUUUCUCUACAGUUGAUCCGCUUUCUUCUUCUUCUUCCUUCUUCUCCUUAGGGCGGCGCGUGUAUGGCAACGGCGGUGGCAGUCGGACUACCAUUACAACCAAACGAAACCAAUGCUGCUGCUGCUACUGCGGCAGGCAGCCUCCGAGCAGGUCGAGGUCCUCCCGGCUCCCGGUACCCUACUACUCUCCUCAUAGUGGGUUCGCAAGCGUUCUUUGCAUUGUUGCACUAUAUGCAAGUGACGAUGAUGAAAUUACGCAUCACUCGUUGCGGAAUUAGCCAGACCAUCUUGUUUUUGGUGAUUUUCUUGCACAAUCACUGGGCCGCAGACCACAGGCUGCGUCGAUUUGGUGGUACUUAUGGGUGUCAAUGUUACCGGUGUAUCCAUGAGGUUAAUAAUCUGGACAUGGCAAAAGGUUACUACUUCCUCCGUUUCAUAUUAUAAGACUUUCUAGCAUUGCCCACAUUCAUAUAUAUGUUGAUGAAUCUAGAUACAUAUGUGUGUCUAGGUUCAUUAACAUCUAUAUGAAUGUGGACAAUGCUAGAAAGUCUUAUAACCUGAAACGAAGGUAGUACUUAUUACUACCAUCUUUCAAUUAAACUGCUAAUUAAUCUAAAGUUGUCUUCCCGUGCAAUGGGAUUGCUUACUACUACCUCCGUUUCAGUUUAUAAGACUUUCUAGUAUUACCCACAUUCAUAUAUAUGCUAAUGAAUCUAGACACAUAUGCAUACAUAUGAAUGUGGACAAUGCUAGAAAGUCUUAUAAUAUGAAACGGAGGAAGUAACAAUUUUUGCAUGCUUACAAUUCACAAAUCGAUUAGGAAAUAGAAGUAUUGUUCUAGCUACAUAUUACAUUCAGAGUGCAAUUUUCAGAACUGACUGGACAUCAUGACAUGCUCAACUUGUAUGUAACAUGCUGAUACAUUUAGCUCGCCAGAUUUUCUGGUGUAGGUUAGCUUAGAGAUGAGACGAAUGGCCUAGGGGGAUUCUUCAGAUUUUGCAAGCUUCCUGUUAACAUAUUCACCACUUUUCUCAUGGAGGGCCGGUUUGCUGGGUUCCACUGAACACACCAUAGCGCCACAAUGGCCAGCUUUCUCAACUUUUCUUUCUCUUCCUGUGUCAUAUCCUUGGCAAAUUCUGACUCUUGCGCACUGACUAUUGUCUCAUAUAUCCACUCUGGAACAAAAACCUCAUUUUGGCUGUUGAUACUUGGAUCUGAGUUCCUCUUUCCGCUCAACAUUUCCAACACUAGCAUGCCAAAACUGAAAACAUCUGACUUGUAAGAUACCGCGCCAAAGUUCCUAGAAUAUAGUUCCGGUGCAAUGUAACCCAUUGUGCCUCUUGCUGCAGUCAAUGUGACAAUGCUUUGAUCCCUUGCGCAGAGCUUUGCAAGGCCAAAGUCCGAAAUCUUUGGGCUGAAGCUGUGGUCUAGCAAAAUGUUGUGAGGCUUGAUAUCAAAGUGGAGGAUGCGCUGGCUGCACCCUUGAUGUAAGUACUCAAUUCCUUGGGCUAUUCCUAAUGCUAUUUUGAGCAUCUUGUCAGGAACUAGGACUUCUUGAGAACUAAUAUAAUCACGUGAGAAUAUAUAUUUCUCCAGUGAAUUAUUAGGCAUGAAUUCAUAAAUAAGAGCAUGCCUUGUUCCUUCGGAGCAAAAUCCCAAGAGGCGGACAACAUUGACAUGAUGGAUUCUCCCUAUGGUUGCUACUUCAUUGAUGAACUCUUCCCCCUCUCCUUUUGAGUUCUCAAGCAUCUUUACAGCAACAGGUACUCCUUUUGACAGCUCACCUUUAUAUACACUUCCAAAUCCACCUGUGCCUAGUUUAUGUUUAAACCGUCUUGUAAUCCUCUUCACUUCAGAGAAUGUGUAUCUUGUCGGUUUAGAUGUGCCAUAUGUCUUGAGAAACAUUUCAACCUUCAGUUGUAUCUCAUCGUCAUUCUUGGUUUUAAGAGACAGAUAGAGUGCAGAGGCCACCACCAGUGUAAGUACUACAAUUGUGGGUACAGAUACUGCCACUGGUAAAUCAUAAUGAAGGAAGUUAGCAACUUGUAUAGUUGUUUUGAACAUUUAUAAAAAGUACCAACUAUCCUUAUUUAUCCUUGGAGAAACAAGGAAUUAAAAUUACAAAAGAAUGAGCUUAAGAUGAACUGUUACCUAUGAUAACUUUGGCAGGUGAUUUUGAACCUGCAGAUAGAAAAGUAAAGAAUUAGAUCCACCCUAUACUCAGAUACACAAACAUAUGGAAUAUGUUGCUCCAUAUUAGUCAGAACAGUAAAAAAAGGCCAGGGUACAGUAAAACAUAUUAAGCUUGCACUUGUAGCUGCACAUAACUCAUAAGAGGCAUACAGUUGUCAAGACAAUUCGCAGGAUUAUGACUUUCUAGGCCCACAAAUGUGUUGAUCAAGUGUUCGGCUAGAACUACAUGACAGAGAAUAUAUCCCAUGACAAGAAUUAAAAAGUAUGUGAGAUCAAAUUCUAAAGUACUAGGAAACAAGAAGAAAAUAAGUAAUAAAUGGAAGUAAAGGUUGUGCUUUUAUUUCAAAUCAUUUAGAUUUUUCAUACCAAAUAGUUAAAUCUGCAGAUCAUAGAAAUCAAUAAUGAGUAUAUCAUGUUUUUCCUCAGAAAAUUGAUACCAUGAGGUUUGCAGAAUGCUGUCCUCCUUUGUGAACUGAAUCCACAGAGCCGCUGUUGUCGUUCACAGUCGAUGCAAACAUCAGUGAUAUUAGGAGCUGACCAAGUGAAUGUUAUCUCAGAGAAUGUAGUAAUUCUUUUUGCACUUUCGUUAAACUCUGUGCUUGCGCUUGCAUUAUAAUCCUUUCUGCCUUGAUUGGAAGUGUAGGGUAUCAUGAUCUCUGUCGAAACCACUUUGCAGUAUAACGGGAGAAUUGACACAAAUGCAUAAGGGGCUACCAAGUACAGGGACUGGCUUGCAUUGCUGAGGCAAGAAAUCGGGCCAAAAAUGCUGUCUGUACUGUCCCAUAUGAACUCUUCUGAACAACUUACAAGACUUGCAUAUUGGAACCCAUAUUGUUUGUACACACUGGUUGAAUAAUUUGCAGAAAUUAUCUUCUGAAGUGCGCACUGUGACCAUGACUCUGCAAGAGGGACGAUGUUGAUGACACCAUAUAUAUAGUCUAUUCCAGUUACCUUCGAUAGGCCAAGAACAUGGUGCAGUAGGAGAGUAUCUUGCCCAGAACAUGAUAACUGCAUUCCUGGAGCACCACAAGAUGAAGAGCUGGAUUCAAGCCGGAAGGGAAACUUGAUGUCUGGUCCAUCACUGCUGCAUCGGGAUGGCGGACAGUUUCGGAAGAAAUCUGCCUCGUCCGAUUCUGUGGCCAUGACGGCUCCAUAGUUGAGAAGAGAGAAGAGUAGAGCAGUCACUAGAAAUCUGUGCAUCUUCUGUGUCGAUUGAAGGUGAGGCUGGAAGUACAGAACAGAUGGUGAGAACUAUCAACUAUCUAUUGUUGGGUCCUAAUGCCGUGUUGUGAUGACCCCAUUGUGAUUCUGUGAGUGCAGUCCUCGUCAGCAAUAUUAUCUAAUUCUUUCUUUAAAAAGGGGAUGAGAUUGUGGACUAAUGGACCGCUGCUUUGGAAGUUAGUGUCCAAGCCUGUGUGCACCCAUGUGCUUCAUUCUAUCUGGUCAACAAUGUAUUACACACUGCUUUGACUACUUCCCCCAAAAAAGUACACACUGCUUUGACUCAGGUCAAACUUGGACUUUAUCCAUCAUUCCAUCCUCUCUCCCAGUCCCAUCCUCAACCUCAUAACACUUUCCUAAUUGCCUCAUAUGCGGCCUUCCCAUCCGUAUUGUUUUCAGUUUAUCACACUUGUUGGGUCAUGAAUUUCUGAAGCUGACCAUGGCCAUUUCUGGUGCACUCUUUCUCCCUGGUAUCUUUCAAAGCUUGAGUAUACUAGCUGUUCUUGGGGUUCUUGUUACUAAGAGUGGAGCUGCUGAUUUUCAAGAACAACCAGCUUGCGUUCCUUUCUCCUGUGGACAUCUUGAAGGUAUCAGGUACCCUUUCCGUUUACAAGGUGAUCCACUUGGCUGUGGUGAUGAAGCUUAUGAGCUAGUCUGUAGAGAUGGCAGAGCUAUAAUUCACAUCAACACAGGAAAAUAUUUUGUGAAAGACAUCUCCUAUAACGAGUCUAGAUUUUGGGUUGUUGAUGCUAAUUUAGACAACAGCAGUUGCCCUCUUCCACUGUGGAAUAAUCUUCCCUACUUCAAUGACAUGGGCACUAAGCUGUACACUUCUGCAGUUCGGUGGGCUACAUUUCUAAAUUGCUCACGGGCGAUAAACAAUGGCAUGUACAUGCCUGUUGCUUGCUUGAGUGGGAAUACUUCUUUUGUUUAUGUCUUGACUACAUCGAGCUCUUACUAUGUUCAAAACAUCGAGCCUUCUUGUGGAUACUUGGCUGUGAUUCCUGUGGAUGAUCGUACAAAGAAUGUACCAGACUAUGCAAGCUAUGCAGAUGUUGUGAAAUUCAUGAGGAAUGGUUUUCCUGUUUCGUUUCCUCGAGUUGAAUCCCCAAGUCAUUCUCCAGUCAUCAAAGCCUGUGCGAGAGAUACAUUCCAGUGAGUUUUAGCUCUGUAUCUUUCUCUUGCUUGUUUGAUCAUCUUAUAAAAAAUAUAUAUAUCCUCUUUUGCAAUUCUGCAGAAACUUUAAGGAGCAAAUGUAUAGUAGGAACAUUCAAAACUGGACUUCUGCCAUUAUUGGGACCGAGCUACAAUUUUUAGGAUGUGUAAUUAAUUAUUACUCUAGUGCCACGCAAGUUUGGGUUACUCUCGUUCUGGUAUUUGCCGUAGAGAUUGUUAAGUGCAUUAUAGGUACUCCAGAUAUGCCUUAAUCUAAACUAUUAUAAUUACACCCAAUUUAUCCAUAGAUUCUUAUUCACUUCAUGUUGCAGUACUAUGCAGGUUCAUCUUGGCGCCGUUGACUGUUUUGACCUUCCUCGGUUACAAAUACCGGAAAACAAGGAUAUCUAUCGACGCAGUAGAGAAGUUUCUCCGAAUGCAGCAAGCUCAUGGUCCAAAGAGGUAUGCGUACACAGAAAUCACUGCAAUCACAGGCCAUUUCAGGGAGAAGCUAGGCCAGGGGGGCUAUGGUUCUGUGUACAAAGGUUUCCUUCCUGGCGAUGGUCAUGUUGCUAUCAAGAUGCUGAGCAACUCCAUGUGCAAUGGAGAAGAAUUCAUCAGCGAGGUUUCCACCAUUAGCAGGAUACACCAUGUGAAUGUGGUGCGCCUUGUUGGAUUUUGCUCGGAGGAACUUAGGAGGGCUCUUGUAUAUGAGUACAUGCCCUGUGGAUCUCUAGACAAGUACAUUUUCUCACCCGAGAAGAGUCUAUCUUGGGACAAGCUCAAUGAGAUUGCUCUAGGAAUUGCUAGAGGGAUCGACUACUUGCAUCAUGGUUGUGAUAUGCAGAUCAUGCACUUUGACAUCAAGCCACACAACAUCCUUCUGGAUAGCAACUUCACUCCAAAAGUCGCCGACUUUGGGCUGGCCAAGCUAUACCCAAGGGACGACAGCUUGGUGCCGGUGAGUGCUGCACGGGGAACGAUAGGGUACAUCGCUCCUGAGAUGAUAUCUCGAAGCUUUGGCACCAUUUCAUGCAAGGCUGAUGUUUACAGCUUUGGGAUGUUAUUGCUGGACAUUGCUGGUGGUAGGAGGAACAGGGAGCAGCAUACAUCCAACUCAGCCCAUCUUUAUUACCCAGCUUUGGUGUAUGAUUGCCUAACUCAACAAGAAGUGAGCGAGAUUUCAGAGGAUAUUGGUAUCCACUGGGUAGAAAGGAAGUUGUGCAUUGUUGGGUUCUGGUGCAUUCAGAUGAAACCAGCUGAACGGCCUUCGAUGAGCGAGGUUGUGGAGAUGCUCGAAUCUGAUGAUCCUGAUAACCUGCAGGUACCUCCGAGACCUUUCUUUGGUGUGGAUGAUCACAUCUCUGAGAUGGAUGAUUGCUGCAAUUCUUCAUCAAAGUCAAGUGCAAUCUCAGAGGAUGACUGAAGCAAACUAGGAUAGCGACUUGACAUUCCUGCCCACGUAUAUAUUCAGUUCGUGCCCUGCUUUUUGCCUCAUCUUUUUGCGGGUUAUUUGUUUCGCUUUUUUUCAUCUAUCCCUGUAUAUAUCUUGCUAUAAUUUUCUCCUGCUCUAUUAAUAUAUACAAGGCAAAGCUUUUGCCUUCCUUUAAAAAAAAUAUAUAUUCAGUUCGUGCUUAUACAACAGGGGAUGUUUCUUGACUCUUGUAGAGGUAAGAGGUUAAUAUGAAGAUUAGUAGGACUAAGAAGAAUUCCUCGUUGAUAUUUUCAGGUUGCUAGAUUUUUCAUCAGUACACGACCCUGAUUGUACUGCAUAAAAAGGAAGUAAUAAUAUAGGAGUUUUGAUUGAUGGACUUUGACCUGACCAGAAAUUUGGUCUAGUUUGAGGACAUCUUUGUUACAACACAUGUGCUUCCAUGGAAUUUGAGUUCUGGAGACUGGUGGCAUGUUUUGUGUAGAUUUAGAUGCUUUUUUUUAGCAGGUGGAUGCUACUUUUUAGGGUGACCAGUGAAAACCUCAGGACGUUUAACUCCUUGCCACUUUUAAGAUGUGGCAAAUAGUUAAUUAUUCCAAAAACGUCUGCCAUAAUUUUCUACAGCCACGUAAUCCCAUUCUGGGCCACAAGCGAGUGAGAACCCCUUCCGGUCCAACCAAAGCCCGUAAAGCACAAUUCAUCAGGCCCAUAAUUAAACCUGCACUAUCUGGGGAAUGCUGGGCCGUUGUGCAGUUUUCAUGGGCCUCAACAAUCUCCCUUUUCAAUUCUUUUCGGCCCAAAGUAAUGUGCAGGCACCACACGCAGCCCACCAAAAGCUCGCCAUGGUACUGUGGCAGGUAAAAACUGGGCCUAAGGGUUUGGGCCUUCAUCAGGACCGUGCAAACGGAAUUUUUUUUAUUUAUACUUUUUUUUAUUAAAAUAUUUACAAAAAUAAUUUUUUGUUUCGAAAAUUUACAAAUCUAAUUGCCUGCCGCCCUUAAGAAGGGCGAUUUUUAAAAAUCGCCCUCUCAAAGGGCGGCAAGGGACCUAAAUACAAAAUUUUUAUUUGUGUUCAAACCCUUCCCACCGGUUUUAAUUACUUAAAAACUAAUAAUGCUUAUUCGAUACUCCAAAUGAUUUUAAAUGGAAAAGUGAUAAACUACAAAGUUAUAGAUCUCAUCAAGAUCUACAACUUUUAUAUAAAGUUUAUCUCCAUCCAAUAUCGUUUGAAAUAUAGAUCUGAGAUUUUUUAAAAUGUGUUUUAUAUUUUGUAACGAAUAUUUGGAUAUCUAAAACAUCUUAAAUGAAAAAGUUACUAACUACAAAGUUGUAGAUCUCCUUGAGCUCUACAAUUUUGAUAUAAAGUUUUAUUUCAUCUGACUUUAUAUAAUAUAAUUUUAAAUUGUAAAAUUAUAGAGCUAACAAGUUAUGCUGGAAAAUUUACAUUUAGGUCCCUUGCCGCCCUGUGGAAGGGCGAUUUUUAAAAAUCGCCCUUCUUGAGGGCGGCAGGCGAUUAGAUUUGUAAAUUUUCGAAACAAAAAAUUAUUUUUGUAAAUAUUUUAAUAAAAAAAAGUAUAAAUAAAAAAAAUUCGUGCAAACGUUGGCCGAGCGGCACAGUGAGCGAGUCGCUGUCAAACUGAACCGCCGGCCAUCUUCUCGCGUGCCGGCCUCCGUCGCUCGCCGGAGUAUAACCACAGCAUCUACAACCAUAAUCCUCCACAUGAAUAGAAAAGCAGUAUCUAAGGCACGUUUUUAAUUCUGCCUGCCCUUAUUGUAGCCUUGAAUACCAUUCUUUGGUUCGUAGCAAUCUCGCUCAUCAAACUUAAGUGCGAGCAAUACUGCUCACUGACAUGUGGGCCCCACAGACCCUCGGGCCCACAUGUCAGUGAGCAGCAGAGGAUCUGGAUUGCUUGACGAUACUAGAAAACAUCCAUGUUGCUCCAAGACCUUGAGAAAUGAUCGACAUCACAAAAUUUGGACGUCCCAAUCACAACGUCGCGGCGAAGGAGACAUUUUGGCUCCCAUUGUUGGCGACAUGUCAAGCGUCCGUGCCUCGACUACGAAAUUAAUUAAGAAAUUCUUGAUGACCAAAAUUACUGGCACAUGAAAACGAGAGUAAAUUAAGAAGCAAAACAGUCACUACUCGUAACAUGGUAUAGGUGGUUGACCGUAGGCCGUCGAGCUUGUUCAACAUGUAGACCAUGGAUACGGUCAUGGCCUCUUCUUAUCCAUCGUUCAACUCAAGCAGCAGGUAGCUUUGGCACUAUAUAUACGACGUGAGGCUUUGGUUUUAAUUAUUAUUAAGUGAAAACAGCAUGCGGUCAGUGGUUUUGGCACCAUAUAUAGAACAUAGUGACCACUAUACAUCGGGAAAACAAAACAAAGUUUUGGUGAAUGGAGAGCAGCAUACUACUAGAACAUAUUGACCAUUAUAUAUACUAUGCUCAAAUUUGUACUAAUUGGUUUGACAUAGUUUUUCAAUUAUAGGUGGUGAGCUUUGUAAUUUAAAGGUUAUAAUUCCAUGUGUCUAAACAUGGUAUGCUUUCAUUAUUUCAACUUGAAGUGUAGCAUCUACUCCUUCUGUCCCAUUUUAAGUACAACCAUGGUUUUCCACGCCCAACUUUGAUCGUCUGUCUUAUUUAAAAAUUUUUGAAAAAAAAAAUAAAAAUAUAAGCCACGAGUAAAGUACUAUUCAUAUUUUAUCAUCUCGUAACAACAAAAAUACUAAUUAUAAAAAAAAAAUUAAAUAAGACGGACGAUAAAAAUUGAGCGUGGAAACUCAUGAUUGCACUUAAAAUGGGACGGAUGGAAAUAGUAAAUACUAAACAAAAAUACUAAGUAGAAGACUGAGACCGAGACAGUGCAUUUAGAGAUGCUGAUGAGCUGAGAAACCUGAUCAGUUGGACGAGGUAAACAAGUGGUGGAUAUGAGGUGAGGCUGAAAUCAUGCUAUGACUUUAGUGGCUAGAGUCAGCCGGAUCAACCUGUUAAUUCUGUCAAAAAAAAAGAAGAAGAGAGAGACGUGUUAAUUACAGCUAAAAAACUUUCUAAUCCAAAGGCAACCGAACCAUGAAUCCAUGACACAAAUGGCGGCAGUGUCUACUUGUUGCACUCACCAUCUCCUACCUCUACUCCUCCUCGCUGCCAUAGUCGCCACCACCACCACCAACCACGCCGCCGCCGCCGCCACGUUGAACAUCACCAACCUAUGCCCCUUCACCGUGUGGCCGGCCGCCGUGCCGGUGGGCGGCGGCAGGCGGCUCGACCCGGGCACGUCGUGGGCGCUCGACGUGCCCGCCGGCGCCGCCCCGGGCCGCGUGUGGGCGCGCACGGGCUGCACCUUCGACGCCACCGGCGCCAACGGGACGUGCCUGACGGGCGACUGCGGCGGCGCGCUGUCGUGCACGGGCUACGGCGAGCCGCCGCAGACGCUCGCCGAGUUCUCGCUCGGCCAGGCCGACGGCCAGGACCUCUUCGACAUCUCCCUCGUCGACGGCUUCAACGUGCCCAUGGACUUCCUCCCGGCGCCGCCGCCGGAUCAGUCACCGCCGUGCAGCAAGGGGCCACGGUGUCCGGCCAACGUCACGGCACAGUGCCCCGGCGAGCUCAGAGCUCAUGGAGGCUGCAACAGCGCGUGCAGAGUGUUCAAGCAGGACAAAUACUGCUGCACUGGCAACGGGACGAACACCUGCGAACCCACCACCUACUCGCUGCCAUUUGUGAGGAUGUGCCCGGACGCCUAUAGCUACUCCAGGAACGAUGCAUCCAGCCCAGGGUUCACUUGCCCGUCAGGUACAAAUUACCAGAUCAUCUUCUGCCCCCCAAUUGAUCUCACAUCUUCAUCUCCUGCAUCAAUUGCUGUUGCUGCAAAUAACAGACAAGGAAAAAAGGUUAUUGCCGGGAUCAUCAUAGCUUCUGUAAUCGGCUCCACUUCAGUACUCACCAUGGUUAUGGCUUACACCAGCAUCAAGCGAAGAACACGACGGCGCCGGGAGAUACGUGAAGAGGAGCAGGAGCUUGAGGAGAUAACCCUUCAAGGAAUGCCAAGGAGGUUCACAUUUCAGCAGCUACAGGAAGCAACCGAUCAGUUCAGAGAUAAGCUCGGUGAAGGAGGAUUUGGGUCGGUUUUCUUGGGACAGAUUGGAGACGAAAGAGUUGCGGUGAAACGCCUGGAUCGAAAUGGUCAGGGGAUGAGAGAAUUCUUGGCAGAGGUUCAGACGAUCGGCAGCAUCCACCAUAUCAAUCUGGUGAGGCUGAUUGGAUUCUGUGCAGAGAAAUCACAGAGGCUCUUGGUUUAUGAGCAUAUGCCCAAAGGUUCCUUGGACAGGUGGAUCUAUCACCAGCAAGGUGCUGCUAUUUUUCCUAGUGUUCCUCCUCUAGAUUGGCAAACACGAUACAAAAUUAUUACCCAAGUAGCCAAAGGUCUCUCAUACCUUCAUGAGGAGUGCACAAAGAGAAUUGCUCACUUGGAUGUAAAACCACAAAAUAUCCUCCUGGAUGACAAAUUCAAUGCUAAACUCUCUGAUUUUGGACUAUGCAAGCUCAUUGAUCGAGAUAAGAGCCAAGUGAUUACAAGAAUGAGAGGCACACCUGGAUAUUUAGCUCCUGAAUGGCUGACAUCGCAGAUCACAGAAAAGGCAGAUGUCUAUAGCUUUGGCAUAGUAGUCAUGGAAAUCAUCAGCGGAAGAAAGAAUGUUGACACUUCCCGGUCUGAACAGAGCAUCCAUCUAAUUACCUUAUUGCAAGAAAAGGUGAAGAGUGAUCAGUUGGUAGAUUUGAUUGACAAAGAUAAUAAUGACAUGCAAGUACACGAGCAAGAAGUAAUAGAGAUGAUGAAAUUUGCAAUGUGGUGUUUGCAGAUCGAUUGCAAAAGGAGGCCUCAAAUGUCUGAGGUUGUAAAAGCAUUGGAAGGCACCAUAAGUAUCGAAACUAACAUAGUUCAUGAUUUUGUCGCAGUAAAUCCAGUAAGCUUUGGUUUUACUGCAGUUGUGGGCUCAGCUCCACCUCUUGCCUCAGAUCUAUCCGGACCCAGGUGACUGACGCAAUUUUGAUGGUAUACUAGAACAUGUGCGCUUUUGGGUCAGAAAAAGGCAUAGCAUAUACGCUGUUGCAUUCUCAGAAAACUAUAAUGUGAUAGCAUCAUACCUUCAAAUCAUUUACAUUUUUUAAUAUUGCAAUUUUCGUUCAAGAAGAACAUCUCAAUAUUGUUUGAUUGUUUCUGUUGAACUUGCCCUAUUAGCAAAUCUGAUCCUGGUUCAUACAUGUGAAACCAAUAGCUCUUCUUACAUAUCAAAAUGGUCAUAGCUCUCAUGGCACUUUCAACCAUAAUUCAGUAGUACUUUCUCAUGGCACAAAUACAACUUUUAUCGUAUGCAAAUGAAUAGCGUACCACAAGAUCACAUUUUUCUCGUUCCAGCUUUAUACUCUGUUAUUCCCUAAAAAAAAUCACUUUCAAAUUACAACAAUGCGAUGAAACAUCUGUUUACAACAAUAUGUAGCCUCAGUUUUACAACCUACCUACCACCUUAUCUGAGAAAAAACAACAACCAACUUAGUACCUUGACUUUUUGGCAUCAAAGCACAUGCAUAAGCUUCAGCCAUCCUCCUCUGAGAUUUCAGUUAGCUCAGAGGAGAAACGGUAAGAAUCCACCAACAGGGGCAGGGGUUCAUCAUCGCAGAAGAAUGGCCUGGAAGGCAGCUGCAGACCAUCAACAUCACCUUCAAGCAUUUCUAUGACCUCACUCAUCGUUGGACGAUCAGGAGGCUUCACCUGAAUGCAAUGUAGACCAACAACACACAACUUCCUUUCCAGCUCAUGCAUAUUCAAGGUAUUGGUGAUCUCACCCAUCUCUUGUUGAAUGAGUUGAUUAUACACCAAUGAUGGAUAAUACACCUGGGUUGAGCUUGACAUGUUCUGCUUAGAGUUCCUUCGCCCUCCAGCCAUCUCUAACAAAAGCAUUCCAAAGCUGUAAACAUCAGAUUUGCUAGAUAUGACACCGAAGCUUCGAGAUAUCAUCUCAGGAGCAAUAUAACCUACUGUUCCUCGUGCAGCGCUAACUGGCACAUAAUUGUUGUCCCGUGGGCAUAGUUUGGCGAGGCCAAAAUCGGCAACUUUUGGGACGAAAUUGCUAUCAAGAAGGAUGUUGUGUGGCUUGAUAUCAAAAUGUAGAAUCUGCAUAUCACACCCUUGAUGCAAGUAGUUUAUUCCUCUAGCAAUGCCCAGUGCAAUCUCAUUGAGCUUGUCCCAGGAGAAGCUCUUUUCAGGUGCGAAGAUGAACUUGUCGAGAGAUCCAUGGGGCAUGUACUCGUACACUAGUGCCCUCCUCAUUUCCUCUGCACAAAACCCCACCAGACGCACAACAUUGACAUGAUGGAUACUACCGAUGGUGGAGACCUCACUGAUGAACUCUUCUCCGUUGCAAUUGUAGUUGUCUAGCAUCUUGAUGGCAACGUAAACAUCACCCGGGAGUAUGACACCCUUGAAUACAGAACCGUAACCACCCUGACCUAGCUUGUCUCUGAAAUGGCUUGUCAUUGCAAUGAUAUCUGUGUAGGUGUACCUCGUCGGGCCAAGCAUCAACUGCAUUCGCAGAAACUUCUCAACUGCAUCGAUUGUGAUCCUUGUUUUCCAGUAUCUUUGUGCAAGAAAAGUCAAUAGUGCCAGUGGCGCCAACACAAACCUGCAUAUGACUGCAUAAAAACAUGUUUAGAUACAUGGGAAUGAUGUGCUUAGAGUGAUGCAGCGGCAUCAAUCACAUGUAGCAUAACAACAAGUUUAUAAAAAGCAUGUGUAUUGUAGAGUACCAUAUAUCCACUUUACUGUCCACAUGACAAAUUGUAGGACAAAUCCUGAAUAAAAUAUUCUUUUCCCAUGAAGCAUCUCCACCAUAUAGAGUGGUGUCUCAAAAUAAUCUGAUGUUUGGCUCGUUUUGCCAAUUAUGCAUGCCCAAAAGAUCAAGUCCAUAAAAACAAUGUCCGCAAUCCGAUUUUUGACAUGUGCAGUAGUGGAGAAUGGUUCUUCACGAAAACCACUGCAAGGCCAAUGACAUGGUAGAAAAAAAGUCUUAACAACGGUACCAAGUAUUUACUUAAAAAACGAUUAUUUAUGGGCAAAAUUAAACUAAGAUACCGAAACUCACCGAAUUGACCGGUUUAGGCACUGCUUGAUUAGCUCAAAUGCAGUCGGAUGAUCUAAGACAAAAGGAAAGCGAACAGAGAAUCCCUUCCUCAUCAACUCAGCAAAAUAUUGGUAUUUUUUACCACUGGCAGGAGUCCAACUAACUGGAAUCAUGGCCAAGUAUCCGCAAGAAGGCUCAAGAUUUUCCAUAAGAGCGUAAUAUGGUGCGACAUUCAGCACAUAGACAAAUGAAGAGCUCGUGUUCUGGCAAUCCACAUGUAUGUACUUGUUAUUGUUCUUCACUGCCUGCGAACAAUUGACAAAGGUCGCCCACCAUAUUCCCUGAAGAGUCAAUUCCCUGGUGUAGCUUGGCCCUGGAAUCCCCCAAAUGAAAGGACGAUGAUUGGAGCGAGGAAGAGGGCAGUUGCUGUUUGCAUCCUGCAGGUUGGCGUCCACGACCCAGAAGGACGAAUCGUUGUAGUUGAUGCUAGUGACAUAGUAUGUUCCUGUAUUGAUCUGGAUGGUGGCCUUGCCACUGCUACACUCUAGCUCAUAUGAUGAAACACCGCACCUGUGAGGGUCGCCUCUCCGCCAGAAAGGAUGACUUAUGUUUGAGAGAUGGCCGCAGGAGAAAGGCUGGCACCACUGCUGUCCCUGGACAACUCCUGCGAGAACUGCAAGUAUAGCAAAGAUGAGUAAGGCUUGCAUUGUAAUGGUAGUAGAGGGGGAAGCUGGCAGAGUUGCUCAGUCCACAGGCUGGUUAUAGUAGACUAGCAGCUUGCUGCACCUACAUAUAUAAGAAUAGUUUUUUUUUGGCUGAUACAGUUUGGUCCUAUGCAUAAGAUUCAUAGUAAGGGACCGAAGUCAGUUCGUCAAAGAAAACCUUAAAUUGUUAUGUUGACAUGGACUGCAUAUCAGCAUAAGAUUCAUAUAAAGGGACAGGGUAACAACACAGAAGGAUGUUGCACUUACGUAGCAACACCUAGUUAGACUAAGCCUAGUCAAAUUUGGACUUUUACGUGGUGGCCUGCUAUAUAUAUCACCCUGGACCCCCUUCAUUAACGAUGAGAUACUUUAACCAGCCCCCUUGUAAAUAAGCUUUUUUUUUUGGAACGAAGCUUAUAAAUAAGCUAGGGUUGAUUAUUAGAUACACACACUUGCAGUAUAUUGAUUGAUUAAUUGCAUAUGUUUCCACCUUAAUUCCCUGUCCAUCUCUGGCCGUUUCAGUGCACAAAGAUGAGUAAAGUCAUUGCAACAACACUCCUCCUCUCCGUCAUCAGCCAUGGCGCCUACCCGGCCAUGGGUUCAGCUUGGGAGGAGGAAGACUUCGCCAGAAAUUGUCCACCGUCCUGGUGCAGUGACAGUGGACCAGAGAUCCGGUUCCCUCACCAGCUUGAAUCCAGCAACUCAUCUUCAUCAUCAUCAUGCAGUGCUUCAUGCGCGAGGCUAGCAUGCUCUGGUCCAGACACCAUCCUGCAUCACCCAUUUCUGGGGCCAUGCAAGGUAACUGCCAUAGAUUACAAGAAAGCUGUUUUCCAGAUCAUCCCGCUCGUAGACUCAUUGUCUUCAUACCCGCUUCAGAAGCUCAUCAUCGACAAUCUACCGGAACCAGAUUAUCAUUCCAGUCGCUGUUCAUUAUACAAUGCCCAGCCUGGGAAAAUAGUAUGCUGUUCAAAAGUGCUCACACCAAGUAUGUCUCCGACCAAUGACUAUGAUGGGAAUAUUGCUGAUCAUGCUGUCGUGGGCCCAAUCUCCUGCCUCAGUGACCCAAGCCACUUCUCAUAUUUGGUGGAUGCUUAUGAAGACAUUUAUUCACUUCCAUUGGACUGCAAGGCUGUCUCUAAAGGCAUUGUUCCGAUAUCCGGUGCAGUCACCGCUGAUGGUCCAACGUUCAAGCAACUGGCAGAAAGAAUCCUCAACUUUGCUGAGACAACUGUAAGUUGGUCCGAGGGAGGCAUUCCUGACAAUUGUGUGCAGUGUGAACAGCAAGGACAACGCUGCGCAUUCAGCUCACAAAGGAAUCAAACAUUCUGCAUGGGCCACAAACCUCAUGGUACCAUCCUAAUCAGAUACCAAAACAUUAUAUGACAGCAUAAGUGCAUAACUCAUGUUUUAUUUCCUCAUCAUACUUUCCUUUUAAGUUCGUGCACUUAAUUUACUAAUGAUAAUAUGAUAUACUACUCCUUUAGUUCACAGACACUUCCAUGAGAUAGCUAUAAAUAGGUAUUUUGCAACUCGCACUACAAACCAUUUGGCUAGGUAGCUUCACCUUACAAAGAGUCAUCCCUAGAACUUCAGAACAAGAAGUGCAUUGAUGAAGCACCUUUGCUGUUGUUAUAAGUGCAUGAUUACACCCACCAAUAAUUAAAUCUUAGUGCCCACAUCCUAGUUAGUAUAUGAUAAAACGGGAACUGCAGUUAGAUGUUUGGUUGCUUUGAUGAAUAAUCAGUUCACACUGCGAGUGAUUUGUGAAAAAAAAUCAUGAGCCAUAACCCUUGAUCCACUUUAUUCACCUUAACCAACCUCAAUCUGGCAUAACACUCAAUCCCCAGAGAUGCUUUGGAGAAACAGCUUCUAAUGCAUUGAUGAAAGGAACAACUGUCUGUUACAUAUAUGUUCACAUAAUCACAUUAACAUUACAUUUAUUCCCCUAAAACGAAAACUUCUAUCAUAUCUAUUGCUAUAUUGAAUCUUACUAUGUUUUCAUAAGUAUAUUUCUGUUUCAUCUGUUAAACUAUUAACAAUCUUACUAUAUUGUUUGGUAUUUGCAGGUUCACGUGUCAAAGUCAUUGCAGGUACUGCAGUAAUUCAAAGUUCAAACCUCCGUUUUUUUAUCAAAAGAGAAGAAAAGAAACAGAGUUAUCUGCCACACGUAUUUUUUUCUUGUUGGCUGCUCUAACUCUACAUUCUUCUGUCAAAAAGACACUACAUUCUCUUAUACCCAUCACAAUCAUUUGCUCAAUAGGGGAUAGCUUUCUGUCCUGAUGCAAUGUGCUAAUUUUCUAUUCUGUAUCUAUUCAGCAACAUCAUCGGUAGCUGCAUUUGUUGUUAUUUCAUUGGUGGUGGCCACUGCAAUCUAUCUCUCCCUGAAGCUAAGUUAUAAUGAAGAGGUGCACUUGAAGGUUGAAAUGUUUCUAAGGACAUAUGGCACAUCUAAACCUACAAGGUAUACUUUCUCUGAAGUAAAGAAGAUAGCAAGAUGCUUCAAGGAAAAAGUAGGCCAAGGUGGAUUUGGAACUGUAUACAAAGGAAAGCUACCAAAUGGAGUGCCUGUGGCAGUCAAGAUGCUAGAGAACCCUACAGGGGAUGGAGAAGAGUUCAUUAAUGAAGUUGCAACCAUUGGAACGAUCCACCAUACAAACAUUGUCCGUCUCCUAGGUUUCUGCUCUGAAGGAACAAGACGUGCUCUUGUUUAUGAAUUGAUGCCUAACGAGUCAUUGGAGAAAUAUAUAUUCUUGCGUGAUCCUAAUACUCAAGAGCUCCUGUCACCAGACAAGAUGCUAGAUAUUGCUUUAGGCAUUGCCCGAGGAAUGGAGUACCUGCAUCAAGGAUGCAACCAGCGCAUCCUCCACUUUGAUAUCAAGCCUCAUAAUAUCUUGCUGGACUAUAACUUCAGUCCAAAGAUUUCGGACUUUGGUCUUGCAAAGCUGUGCCCAAGGGACCAAAGCAUUAUUACCUUGACCAAAGCAAGAGGCACAAUGGGAUACAUUGCACCGGAGCUAUAUUCUAGGAACUUUGGGGAGAUAUCUUACAAGUCAGAUGUUUACAGUUUUGGCAUGGUUGUUUUAGAAAUGGUGAGUGGAAGGAGGAGCUGGGACCCAAGUAUUGAGAACCAAAAUGAGGUAUACUUUCCAGAGUGGAUCUAUGAGAAAGUAAUUACAGAGCAGGACUUCAUACUUAGUAGGGAAAUGACAGAAGAAGAGAAACAAAUGGUGAGACAGCUGGCCCUUGUGGCACUGUGGUGUAUUCAGUGGAACCCAAGAAAUCGGCCCUCAAUGACAAAGGCUGUAAACAUGAUAACUGGAAGGUUGCAGAACAUACAGGUGCCUCCUAAGCCAUUUGUUUCGUAUGAAAGCCAUCCUAUGCCAUAAACCAUGGAAACUACACCACAAUGGCUUAGUAAAUUUUUGGGACUUAUACUUUAUCCACAUGAUGCAUAGUAAUGUAACGCCUAGAUAUUGCAUAAUAUGUACUUUGAUCAUUCCACUGUAUUAGCCAUCUGAGGUGAGUUCACCAUGUAACACAGUUAAGCAGAAAAGCAUCGCAUUGAACUCAACCUGCAACAUAGUGGUUCAGUCGUGGUGAUUACCUUGUUCAGUCGUUGCUGUGGUGUAUCUCCUACUGUACUGUACUCCUAGCUGCACUAGUCAGUCAGAUACUCCCAUUGGCCUUUUCAUGGGUCAGUAUUCUGAUGGAUAUUUUGCAAGACAAUGCUGCAAGGAAAUUGUAAAUCUAGUGUUAUCAAAUGGAUGCAUUAAAUUGGGUUUGAGCACGCUUUAUGUUUAAAACAAAUGAAUAGCAAAGCAAAGGGAUCACCAUUACCAUUGUCUAUUUGUCAAUGACAAAUGCCAGUAAGAAGUUUCCUUUUGUUGCAUAUUCCUCCUAUCCAUGCGCCAUUGAAAGAGCCAGGGCCUGAAUAUGUGAGGGAAACGUGAGAAGACAACGCUGUAGGGCAGAAAAUCAACCAUGCCAUGAUACUAAAGCAUGUCGCAAAAUAAAUACCUCCAUCAUCAAAUGUCAGGGAGGGGGAAGCAAUCUGCCGUGGAAACCAUCGCCGGGCGUCGUGGUGGCGUUUCUAGAGAUCCGCGGCGGAGCGCGGGGUCGGGGCAGGGCGAGCUCAACCGCUGGAUGCGCUCAGAGCCAGGGCAGCCACGCGCAGUGGCGCUGGGAGCCUGGAAGUCGGGUUGAUUUUGGCGCCGGCACCGGCGGCGCCGCCGCCGUCUGCUGGAGCGCCGCCGCAGCCCGCAGGUCGAUGGGGAGGGGGGAACUGUGGGGACUGGGUUCAAGCCCAACACACUAUCCCGUUCGGGCCCAAGCUCAUUCAAUGUUAUUCCGUCCUGGCCCAUCACAGAGGCAACCUUGCUGAAUCCGGCCCACAGCUAGACGUAGGCCGGGCUUAAGUUGACGCAGAUGAGCAGUAGAUAAAAUGCAUACAAAGAUCGAAAGUGAGAUGAACUCAAGGCAUUACGCAAAUGGGCGCGCUGAGUUCCUGUUUCAAACCCUUCAAACAUAAUCAGCAUGUUUUCUGGAAGUGGCCCCGACAAAAAGAAAUUGCUGAGAGCGACACAUCUAUCAGAUAUAUUGGAGAGCAAAUUGUUGCAAGAUAUCCAAAUCACCACAGAAUUACUACAAAAAAGUUUUAACACAUCAUGCCGGAUAGUCCACAGGUCGCCGCCGGUCAGGGAUCAACAACAUCAACUAGGAGAUCGUCACCGACCUGCACUGCACCAGGAUUGCACCAUCGUCACCUGCAACUUUUGGGCAGACAGGUAUGAAAAUCAUCCAUAGGUAGUAGAACAAGUACGGUAUCUCGUCAAACUCUCGUAUAUAAUUUGUUGUGACAUAAUUGGAUGAUAGAAAUAUACACGACCUUAAGAGAGAGAUUCCAACACCACACGGUAACAGUUAAGGUGAAAGAAAGAGACAUUUUGGGCGCCACACUGUUGACGGCAGGCAUGGUUGGCAAGUCAAAAAGGGCGUCAUAGAACGCUGAAAAAGAUGAGGAAAGCACGCAACCACGUAGUAAUCACAGGAUCUAUGAUAUGCUUGCAGGCAAAUCAAAACAAUUGCUAGGUCGUUGACCGAAGACCGUUGAACAAUUCAACACGCAGACCAUGUGAACUUACACAACAUACUGAUCGAUCUGCUGUCUCCUUCUUCCGCUCUACAAACGGAGUCAGGCAAUCGAAUCACAACACAAAUGGCAGCGGGGAGUACCAUCAGUACUAGUCGCCGCACUCACCACCUUGUGACUCUGCUGCUCCUCGUUGCCGCCAGCACCAACUACGCCGCCGGAGCCACGCUGAACAUCACCAACCGAUGCUCCUUCACCGUGUGGCCGGCCGCCGUGCCGGUGGGUGGCGGCAUGCGGCUCGACCCAGGCGAGUCGUGGGCGCUCGACGUGCCCGCCAACAGCGGCGCAGGGCGUGUGUGGGCGCGCACAGGCUGCUCAUUCGAUGCCAAUGGCAACGGAUCGUGCCAGACGGGAGACUGCGGCGGCGUGCUCAAGUGCAAGAACAGCGGCAAGCCACCUCAGACGCUCGCUGAGUUCACGGUGGACCAGACCAGCGUACAGGAUUUCUUCGACAUCUCCCUCACCGACGGCUUCAACGUGCCCAUGGACUUCCUCCCCGUGCCGGCUCCGGAGCAGAGGCACGGAGCACCACCGUGCAGCAAGGGGCCACGCUGCCCGGCCAACAUCACGUCGCAGUGCCCCAGCGAGCUCAAGGCGCCUGGAGGCUGCAACAGCGCCUGCAAUGUGUUCAAGCAAGACAAAUACUGCUGCACUGGCACCACUGGCACCAAAACCUGCGAACCCACCACCUUCUCACUGCCAUUCGUCAGGAUGUGCCCUGACGCAUAUAGCUACAGUUUGGAUGACAGCUCCAGCACUACAUUCACUUGCCCGUCAGGGACAAACUACCAGAUCAUCUUCUGCCCUCCAACUGAUCUCACGUCUUCAUCUCCGGUUCCUCCUCCUGCACCUAUUGCUAUUGGGCCUUCAGGCUUGGAUUCCUCAUCCAAAAGAGGAGGAAGGCUUGUUGCCACUAUCGUGGUCUCUGUGAUCGGCUCUACUUCAGUACUCACCAUUAUCAUCGCUUCCAUCAUUAUCAUCAAACGAAGAAUACGAAGACACCAGGAGAUGCAAGAAGAGGAACAAGAGUUUGAGGAGCUACCCCUUCAAGGAAUGCCGAGGAGGUUCACAUUUCAGCAGCUACAAGAAGCAACUGAUCAAUUCAGAGACAAGCUCGGUCAAGGGGGGUUUGGGUCUGUUUUCCUGGGACAGAUUGGAGGUGAAAGAGUAGCGGUGAAACGCUUGGAUCAAAGUGGUCAGGGAAUGAGAGAAUUUAUGGCAGAGGUUCAGACAAUCGGCAGCAUUCACCAUAUCAAUCUAGUGAGGCUGAUUGGCUUCUGUGCAGAGAAAUCACAAAGGCUUUUGGUUUAUGAGCAUAUGCCCAAAGGAUCCUUGGACAGGUGGCUCUAUCACCAGCAAGGUUCUCCUGCUCCUGCUCUAGAUUGGUGGACACGAUACAAGAUUAUUACUCAAGUAGCCAAGGGUCUCUCUUAUCUUCAUGAGGAGUGCAUGAUGAGAAUUGCUCACUUAGAUGUAAAACCACAAAAUAUCCUCCUAGACGACAACUUCAAUGCUAAACUUUCUGAUUUUGGUCUAUGCAAGCUUAUUGAUCGAGAUAAGAGUCAAGUGAUUACCAGAAUGAGAGGCACACCUGGAUAUUUAGCUCCAGAAUGGCUGACAUCGCAGAUCACAGAAAAGGCAGAUGUCUAUAGCUUUGGCAUAGUAGUCAUGGAAAUGAUCAGUGGGAGAAAGAACCUUGACACUUCCAGGUCUGAACAGAGUAUCCAUCUAAUUACCUUACUGCAAGAAAAGGUGAAGGGUGAUCAGUUGGCAGAUUUGAUUGACAAGCACAGCAAUGAUAUGCAAGUACACCGGCAAGAAAUAAUUGAGAUGAUGAAACUCGCAAUGUGGUGUUUGCAGAUUGAUUGCAAAAGAAGGCCUCAAAUGUCUGAGGUUGUCAAAGUUUUGGAAGGCACCACAAGUAUUGAGACUGACAUAGACCAUGACUUCGUCGCAACAAAUCCAGUAAGCUUUGGUGUUGCUGGAAUUGUGGACUCCGACCCCCCUGUAGCAUCUAAUUUAUCAGGCCCCAGGUGAAUGAGGUGAUUGUAGUGGCAUGAUAUCUUGCAAUGAUUUAAAUUGUUGGAUACUGCAGAACAUAUUCGAUCGACAAUAGAUGAGAACUCCAAAGUUCAUUUUGUUAUGCUUUCCUUUUUAGCACGAAACUGAUCCUGGUUGUUAUAGAUGAACCCCAUACCAUGCUUUAAUUUGGUCGUAGCUCUUCUAGAGAAGGACAACACGCAUUGGAAACAAAUUGGGAAUUUGGGAGACUGAUUCAUGCAAAUUGCAUAUUUCUAUGCAGAUUUUCCUACUAUGACUUAUUAGUAACCAGGUGGCUUUUAGUUCCUCUACAAAGGUGAUUUUCAGAUGCAUUAAAUUUUCAGUAUUUUCCUCUGGCAUAUAGAUAAUAGUGAUGUAAAUAUGGUUCCUAAGUUGAGAGGUAACAAAAUUACAGCCUUCAAGAAAACCCCUGAACCAAACGGACCCUAAAACUCCACAAAAUCAGGUCAAUGCCGCGAUGGAUUGAAUAGUGAUGGUAGCGUGAAAAACAAAAUCAAGCAGGUAAUAUUCAGAUUCAAGCAGAACUAGUAUGCAGUUGUGGUAAUAUAGAGAGGCACAGUAUUAUUUAGAUGAAGAAAUCUUACUCUACACUAGCGGUCAGAAUACACUUCGCUUUGAACAAGCCAACUCCACGGCAGCAGAUCUCGAAUAGUGAUAGCUCCCGGAGGUGACCCUCAUCGGAGCAAUCCGAUUUGAGAUGUGGCGUACCUGCACUCACGCAGUGGCGCAUGGGAACAGUUUCACCGCCACUCUAUAAGAUCUUCUUCGGCGGGUCGAUUCAGACCAUUUUUCCGCCGCCGCCGCCACCUGCGGCCGGAUCAACGGCGGAGGUUGCCAUGGUGGACGACGGAGUGGAGAGCGAAGAAGAGGAAGAGGACGCUCCCGUACGCGUCUCGGCCCACACGUAAUCCGGCGCGGCUGCGUCCAUACCGGCCCAGAAUUAGACCUCUCAGUUGGGCUUUACUGAUUCGGCCCACAAGCUUAGGCACACUGCAUUUGAGGUGGGCUAUUACUGUGGGCCUUCAUUAAGCGACGCUACUCCACUAUCACAACGUACUUAUAACUGUCAAAAACACGGCGAUGAGUUAGACGACGAAACCUCCAAAAAAAAAUAGUCAGACGACGAAACUGUUCAUCAUGUCAUAGUACGAGAAAAGCUGCCUGCUUUGGAUGCGAAAAACGAUACCAUUUCUACAAAUUUCUGCACGCAUGCAUAAAAACAUCAAAAGGCGACAUCGCAAGUCAUCAACAUACUGACCACGCUGUUUGUCUGGCUGAUCGAUUAGUCAAAACCUAACCAGCGCUUGUUCUCAUAGUAAGAAUUUUUAUUUUUUUGUUUUUUUUUUUUUUGCGGGGAAGAAUUUUUGUUUGUUUGACACUGGAACUAACUGAUAGUCAGAUUUGCACCAUUGACAAAUUGGAUUACAGCUCCCAGCGAUAAUCGGCUGUCCUAAUCGUCACAUUUUCAGCAAAAACAGCUCCAUAUCUUGUACCAUCGCCCAAUUUUCAUACACAGUAACUAUGAAACGGUGACAUCCCCAUCACAAAUUUAGGACAAAUCAAAGAUUUUUCAGUCAAAAGAUGACCCAGUUAGUCAAGGAAGGCAGCUGCCUCCUGCCCCCAUGCACACUUACAACCUCCAGACAAACUCCAGAAUGCAGACUCUCAGGUUGCAGUGAUCCGAAUGCCACGACAAAGCAGAGAGCAAAAAAUUUAAGUACUAGCACUUUCAGCCAUAAUUCAGUACUACUUUCUCAUGGUAGAAAAUACAACUUUAUCAUAUGCAAAAAUAAAUAGCAUACCACAAGAUCACAUUUUCUUGCUCCUGCUUUAUACUCUGUUAUUCCCUAAAACAAGAUAACCUCCAAAUUUCAACAAUGCCAAGGGAACAUAUCCCUCAGCGUUUUACAACUUACUUACCACCUUUCCUAUUUGGCAUCAAAGCACAUGCACAAGCUUCACUCAUCCUCCUCUGAGAUUUCAGUUAGUUCAGAGGAGAAACGGCAAGAAUCCACUAGCAGUGGCAGGGGUUCAUCAUCGCAGAAGAAUGGCCUUGAAGGCAGCUGCAGACCACCAACAUCACCUUCAAGCAUUUCUAUGACCUCACUCAUCGUUGGACGAUCAUGAGACUUCAUUUGAAUGCAAUGUAGACCAACAACACACAACUUCUUUUCCAGCUCAUGCAUAUUGAAGGCAUUGGCAAUCUCACCCAUCUUUUGUUGAACCAGCUGAUUAUACACCCAAGAUGGAUAAUAUGACUGGCUUGAGCUCGACAUGUUCUGCUUAGAAUUCCUUCGCCCUCCAGCCAUCUCCAACAGAAGCAUUCCAAAGCUAUAAACAUCAGAUUUGCUAGAUAUGAUACCAAAGCUCCGAGAUAUCAUCUCAGGAGCAAUAUAACCUACUGUUCCUCGUGCAGCGCUAACUGGCAUAAAACUGUUAUCCCGUGGGUACAGUUUGGCAAGGCCAAAAUCGGCAACUUUUGGGACAAAAUUGCUAUCAAGAAGGAUGUUGUGCGGCUUGAUAUCAAAAUGUAGAAUCUGCAUAUCACACCCCUGAUGUAAGUAGUUUAUUCCUCUAGCAAUGCCCAAUGCGAUCUCAUUGAGCUUGUCCCAAGAGAGACUCUUGUCAGGAGAGAAGAUGAACCUGUCAAGAGAUCCAUGGGGCAUGUACUCAUACACAAGUGCACUCCUCAUUUCCUCUGCACAAUACCCCACUAGACGUACUACAUUGACAUGAUGGAUACUGCCAAUGGUGGAUACCUCGCUGAUGAAUUCUUCUCCAUUACAAUUGUAGUUGGAUAGCAUUUUGAUGGCAACAUGGACAUCACCAGGCAGUAUCACUCCCUUGAACACGGAGCCAUAGCCACCCUGGCCCAACUUGUCUCUAAAAUGGCUUGUCAUUGCAAUGAUGUCUGUGUAGGCGUACCUUGUUGGACCAAGCAUCAGCUGCAUUUGUAAAAACUUCUCAACUGCGUCGAUUUUUAUUCUAGUUUUCCAAUACUUGAAGGCAAGGAAGGUCAAUAGUGUCAACGGAGCUAUCACGAACCUGCAUAAAACUGCAUAAAAAAACAACUUUACAUAAACAGUGAUAACUUUUAGUAAAUGUGUCUUUAGACAUUGGAACGGUGCAGUGGUGAUUAUGUACUGUAUAAUUAAGAAGACAGAAUCAUAGAAGUACCAGCAAUCCACUUGAAAACAAACAAAGCAAAUUGUACAAUGAAUCCGCCAUAAAAUUCUAUUUUUCCACGAAGCAUCCCCAUCAUGUAUUGUGGCAUAUCGAAAUAAUCUUUCAUGCCCACUCCUCCAAUUAUGCAGGACCAGAAACUAAAGUCAAUAAAAAGGAUGUCCACAAUCUGAUCCUUGAUGGUUUGAUUGGACAAUGGUUCUUCAUGAAAGCCCCUGCAAGGCCGUGACAUGGUAGAGAAAAGAAUGGCUUAGAGAGCGUAUCAAUGCUUUUAAGACAAAUAUGUACUCAAAUUUAUGUAUGAAUGUAAUGGAACAACACCUGAAACUCACCGAAUCGACCCCAUCAGACAAUCCUUGAUGUGCCCAAUCCUACUCCACCUAUGUAUUAUGGGAAAAUGAACAGCAAAUCCAUUCCUCAUGGAUCUGACGAUGUCUGAAAAGCUUGCAUUAUGUGGCAAUGGCGAGUCCCAACCACCCAAGGGAAUCAUGGCAAGGUAGCGACAUGAAGUCUCAAGGUUUCCGAUGAUUGGAAAAACAGAUGGAGGCAUUAUCCAGGAACCAAACACAUAAACAAACGAAGAGCUUGUGCUCAGGCAAUCAACAGGAACGUACACACUAUUAUUCCUUACUGCCUGUGAACAAUUCACAAAGCUAACCCAUGUAGCUCCAGGUCCAGGGUCAAGGGCCAGGUCCCAGCCGCCAUGUGAUCCCUGGAUACCCCCCGAAACGAAAGGAAGCUGAUCCGAGCGAGGAAGAGGGCAGCUGCUGUUUGUAUCUUUUAGGCUGGCAUCCACAACCCAGAAGACAGAAGUAGUGUAGUUGAUGCUGGUUACAUAGUAUGUCCCUGUGUUGAUCCUAAUGGUAGCCUUGCUAUCUCUGCAGUCUAACUCAUAUGACGGAACACCGCAUCUUUGUGGAUCACCUCGCCGGCGGAAAGGAUGAGAAAUGUUCUGGAGAUGUCCACAGGAGAAAGGAUAGCACCCUUGCCGCCCCUCGACAUCUCCUGCAAGAAGAGCAAGAACAGCAAAGAUGAAAACAAAGGCUUGCAUUGUGGUAGAGAGGGGAUGCAUGCUACUCACUCAGCCCACAAGGACAAGGUUGGCUAACGAAGACAGGUGCUUAUGUUGGCUGCUGCAUAUGAUCCGUGCUCCCUGAUUUUGUUGACUAAUCCAGACAUAUUGCAAUCAGUCAAUAUUAUCCAUAGUCUCUGAUAGAGAUGGGGCAGGGAUGGACCAACCGAAGUAUCUGAUAGAGUAAAGCCAAAUUAGUACCAAACUUUGACCAACUUUCGCUAGGAAAUAGGAGUAUAUGAUUGAUUGUCCCCUAUUAUAGCAAGCAGUGAUCAUACAGCCUUCCUGCUCUCUCUAUUCUGUUUGCAAUCCUCUUCACCCUAAUUUUCAAUGUACCUCUGGCCGUUGCAGUACACACACACACACACACACACACACAGAGAGAGAGAGAGAGAGAGAGAGAGAUGGGUACCAUUCUCGCAACAGCCUUCCUGCUCUCUGUUCUCAGCCAUGGCAGCUACAUAGCCAUGGCUUCCUCAUCUUGGGAUGACCAAGACUUCUUCAAGCAUUGUCCACCGUCCCGGUGCAGCAAACAUGGACCAGAGAUCCGGUUCCCUCACCGGCUGCAAUCCAGCAACACACCUUCAUCAUGUGGCAGUUCACACGCCAAGCUAAUAUGCUCUGGCCAGGACACCAUCCUACAUCACCCAUUUCUGGGCCCUUGCAAGGUGACUGCCAUAGAUUACAAGAAGGCUGUCAUGAAGAUCAUCCCGUUUGGGGGUUCAUCUUCUCCAUGCCUGCUUCACAAGUUCAAUUCCACAAAUCUAUCAGCUGAUGUCAACGAUCAGAAUCAAUUAUACCUCACUGAACCUGGGAGAAUAGUGCGUUGUUCAAAAGAGUUCACAACAAGUAGAGCUUCUAUGAUCGACGGCUACAACACUGUUAUUGCCGAUAAAGUUGUCCGCUUGAUCCCCUGCCUAAGGGACACUACAAGCCACUUCUCAUAUUUGGUGUCUACUCGGCUCUACCUGUAUGCGCUUCCAUUGGACUGCAUGGUCGUCUCAAAAGGCAACAUUCCAAUCCCCAAUCCAUACACGGCUGGUUUAACGUUCAAGCAAAUGGCAGAAAGGAUAAUCAACUCUGCUGAGAUCACCCUUGAUUUGCUUCUCGGAAGUAUUCCCUACAAUUGCACGCGGUGUGAACAGCAAGGGCAACGCUGCGCGUUCAGCUCACAAAGGAAUCAAACAUUCUGCAUGCAUCACGGUACCAUUCUAACAAUAACCACCCACAAACAUAUAGCUUUAUUUCCUACAAUAGUUAAGCUCUUGCAUUUGAUCCACCCAUACAGUACUACCUUUUGAAACUUCUAGGAGAUGAGUUGCAAAAUUAUUUUGCAAACUAGUAGUACAAACCAUUUGAAUAUGUGACUGUAACUAUUUAAUCAUUCUUUACAAUUCUCAUAGAUAUCUCAAAAAAGAAGUGGCCAAUGGAGAAUAAUGUUUGCUCAACUAGCAACAAUCAGACACAAUGAUUAUAAAUUUACAUCUUAACAUAGAUAUGCAGCUACAAACAACACCAUUGUACUGCUAAUGAAAAGGACCCGAAAGCAAAAGUAACUUAAGUAACAAAAGACUCCUACAAUUAGAAAAUCUAAAAGUUAAGUAAGCAUACAACACAACUAAUCUUACAUGUUCUGAUGAUAAUCAUGAUUCUGCUGUCUUGAGUACAGAAGACUGCAGUUGAUGAUACUGUGCUGAGCUUUUGCACAAUCAGAUAUACACACACUAGGAGAAGUUAUCUAUCACAUAUAUAUUUGCAUAAUCAAAGUACAAUUGUAACCCCAAAACUAAAACUCUAUGAUAUCCCACAGGGUCCAUAUUUUUCUGCAAUGUCGUAGGUCUAUGCUGGGUUUACAUUUUUUCAAGAGUAAAUUUCCAUUUUACCUGUAAACCAUCAAAUAGAUCUUAUUGUCUGCUUUGGUAUUUGCAGGUUCACGCGUCAAAGUCAUUGCAGGUACUAUUGCAAUCCAAACCUCUGUGUGUGUGUGUGUGUGUGUGUGUGUGUGUGUGUGUGUGACAGCAGGAGUUCUGCUGGAUAUAUUAAGAAGGAGAAGCAAAGUGUUCGAGCAAUAGUCGUUAUUACAUGGCUAAAUAAGCCAACUGGAGGAAGGCAGGAUUAAGCAAACCUAUCUUUUUAUUCACAAGAAAAAAAUGAAAUAAACAAAGUUAUCUGUAGCAGAUAAAAUAGUUGUUGAUGGCUGCUCUAACUACAUUCUUCUGAUAAAAAGACACUGCGUUCUUUUAUACCCAUCAAGAUAAGCCACUCACUAUGGGAUAAUUUUCUGUCCUGAUGCAAUAUGCUGUUCUUAUUCUAUUUACUCAGCAACAUCAGUAGCUGCAUUUGUUGCUGUUUCAUUGGUGGUGGCUACUGUGCUCUAUCUCUCCCUGAAGCAAAGGUAUAAUGAAGAGGUACACUUGAAGGUUGAAAUGUUUCUCAGGACAUAUGGCACAUCAAAACCCACAAGGUAUACUUUCUCUCAAGUAAAGAAGAUAACAAGACGCUUCAAGGAAAAAGUAGGCCAAGGUGGAUUUGGAACUGUCUACAAAGGCAAGCUCCUAAAUGGAGUGCCUGUGGCAGUCAAGAUGUUAGAGAACCCUACAGGAGACGGAGAAGAUUUUAUUACUGAAGUUGCAACCAUUGGAAGAAUCCACCAUGCAAACAUUAUCCAUCUCCUGGGCUUCUGCUCCGAAGGAACAAGGCGUGCUCUUAUUUAUGAAUUUAUGCCUAAUGAGUCACUAGAGAAAUAUAUAUUCUUGCAUGAUCAUAAUACUCCUCAAGAGCUCCUGUCACCAAACAAGAUGCUAGAUAUUGCUUUAGGCAUUGCCCGAGGAAUGGAGUACCUGCAUCAAGGAUGCAACCAGCGCAUCCUCCACUUUGAUAUCAAGCCUCAUAAUAUCUUGCUGGACUAUAACUUCAGUCCAAAGAUUUCGGACUUUGGUCUUGCAAAGCUGUGCCCGAGAGACCAAAGCAUUGUUACCAUGACCAAAGCAAGAGGCACGAUGGGAUACAUUGCACCAGAGCUAUAUUCUAGGAACUUUGGGGAGAUAUCAUACAAGUCAGAUGUUUAUAGUUUUGGCAUGCUUGUGUUAGAAAUGGUGAGUGGAAGGAGGAGCUGGGACCCAAGUAUUAAGAACCAAAAUGAGGUAUACUUCCCAGAAUGGAUCUAUGAGAAAGUAAUUACUGGGCAGGAGUUCGUACUUAGUAGGGAAAUGACAGAAGAAGAGAAACAAAUGGUGAGACAGCUGGCCCUUGUGGCACUAUGGUGUAUUCAGUGGAACCCAAGAAAUCGGCCCUCGAUGACAAAGGUCGUAAACAUGAUAACUGGAAGGUUGCAGAACAUACAGGUGCCCCCUAAGCCAUUUGUUUCGUAUGAAAGCCAUCCUAUGCCAUAAAUCAUGGAGAGCACAACACCAUGACUGAAUAAAUUUUUGGGAGUUAAUCCACAUGUUUUCAUAUAGUAAGGCCUAGAAAUUGCGUUGUGUUUAUUUUGAUGAUUCCGCUGGAUUAGCCAUCUGAGGGGAUCACUCUUCAACAUGUAUUGCAGUUAAGUAGAAAUACAACAUUGUGGUUCAGUUGUGGCUGUUACCUCUGUUCAUCAGUUGCUGUGAUGUAUCUCCUGAUGUAUUGUACUCCUAGCUCCACUAGUUAGUCAGAUACUCUUAUUGUCCUUUUCAUGGGUCAGUACCUGGUGGAAAUUUCAUAAGAGAAUCCUGCAAGGUAAUUGUAAACUUUGUGUUAUCGAGUGAAUGCAUUGAAAUGGGUUUGAGCACACUUUAUCUUUAGAAAAAACUGAAUAGAAAAGCAAAGUUACCAUCGUCUGUUUGCCACUGAAAAGUUAAUUAGAUCUCACUAGUUAGUAAGAAGUAGUCGAUUGUUGCUUGCAUAUUCCAAUCCAUGCCAUUGAAAGAGCCAGGACCUGGAUAUUAGAAGGAAAUGCGAGAAGAGAAAUCUGUAGGGCAGGCAAUCAACCGUGCCAUACUGCCAUGCUACUGCUGAAAAUCUACAAGGAUCGAUAUAGUACUGAGUUCAGCUCGUGAAGUUACAAAAUUUAGUAAAGCGCCAAAAUAAAAUGAAAAUAAAUACCUCCAGCAAUGUCAGGGAGGGGAUAGAGAUCCGCCGCCGCUUCCAUCGCCGGACGGCGUGGUCCAACAAGAGCGAGGAGGUGGAGGCCUUAGUAGACACAGAUCCCCUGCGGCGAAGCGUGGGGUCGAGGCGAGGUGAACUCGACCGGUGGAUGCGCUCAGCGGGAAGCGACACGCGGUGGCGCAAGGCCAUGGGAAUGAUGCUGCACUGCAAGUCGGGUCGAUUCAGGCCAUUUUUGGCGCCGCCGCCGCCGCAGCAGCAGCAGCAGAUUGCCGGAGUCCAUGGUGGGGAGAACGAUGGGGAGUGGGGACAAGCCCAACACGUUCCUGUUCUGGCCCAACAAUACCUUUGAUCUCAAUUCCAUUUCGGCCCAUCGAAGGAAGUGGCCGAGAAAGAGACGAGUAGUGGGCCGGGCUGCAGCUGAUCUUAGGCAUGCAAAUGGCCCACCAAAUCAUUGAUCGGACGGCGUGUGUUUGCGGAUUAUCCAUCGAUUCGAAUAAUCCAACUCCAUGGAGGCGGAGGCGGAUCUCGAAUACGGAUGGCCACCGCUGCGCAGAUGAGAUGACGACCCUCACCGUCACCGGUUUGAGAUGUGGUGCGGUGGCCGGUGGGGCAUCGCCGUCGGGCAGCGGGCAGCGGCACGCCAUAAGGUCAAGGACGGAGAAUCGAUUCAGAGCGAUCCUGCCGCCGCCGGCCGCUACCGGAGCACCGGCGGAGGUUGCCAUGGCAGAUGGGAAGUGCGGGGGAGUUCUCCCGUAGUGGGCUGCGAUGCAGUUUAGGUGGGCCUUACUCGGCCCAAAAUAUUAGGCUUAGGCCCGGAGAUGACCAACAGAAAAGGCUGUAGAGACAGAACGCAGUGCGGCAGUGGUGCGCCUAAUCUGACGACUCUGUUCAGGUGAUUUGCUGUUUGGUUGUUGGUUAACUUUACCUCACUCCAAUUUGUUAAAGAUGUGGCAAGUUAUAUAAAGUAGGACUAACAAUUUGUAACCCGUAAGCAUGGUGAAGUUAAGCUUAAAAAUUAAGUGUAUGAAAAUGUGGGCUAGUGAGUCAGAAACAAAAUGUUUCACGUCUAACUUUCGGCACAGCGAACUGUGACACAAAACAAGAGCUCCGCGUGAAGUUUUUUUUUUUUAAGCAAAUGCAUUGAUGCAUGAGAUGUUAAGUUGAUAUAUCAGAUUACCAUGCAUCAUUGAUAUAUCGGAUUACCAUGCCCAGCGGUAAACACAGGCACUAGGCUGUCCAAAUCGAAAUCGUUGCAUUUCCUUUCAGCAAAAGCAUAUGUCCGUGUCUCGGAGACUUGACCAUCACUAUCGGAAUGAGCUCUGGAGUGCUCAUGCAGCACACACACCACAGAAAUGCGCCGGCCAACAACACAUUUGGCCAAUGGGCCACACAUAUAUGUGUCAUAAUUAACCAUGGCAUCCCAGUCACAACAUUAUGAUAAACGAAAUACUCCCUCUAGUUCACGGCAAAGAAAUUAUCCGGUCAGUCAAAGGCAAUCCACUGCCUCCUGCCGCUAUCCACACUGACCUCCAGAGUCCACACUCCAGGCUUGCAGUGAUCCGGAUGCCCCAGCAAAUGACAGAGAAAAUUAGAAAUGGAUUAAGUAGCAUUUUCUUCAGAAAUGAUUCUGUAGCACUUUCUAAGAUACAACUGUAAAAUCAAAGGUGUUUUUGAUUAUUAUUCUGUGAUGAACUAUUGGGCAUUGGAGAUUAUUGGUUUUGUUAUUUGGAAUUUAUUCACGAAGUGGUUUUGGAGAUGAUUGGUUUUCACAGGUGAAUAUACAGGUACUGCUGGAUUUGGGUCCGGUCAGACCGGGCUUUGGUAGCCGGUCAGACCGGCGUGUAUUGCGCGGUCAGACCGGCGCUGCCCGCGGUCUGACCAGCCGACACUGUGUCGGUUUCGGUUUCGGGUUGUUUAUUUAGAUAUCCGAGUUUAUUCCAUGAUUAUGACUUCUAGAUGGAUAUUAUACGUAUGUAAUACUAUUGUUUGCUGCUAAUGAGUCAAGUUGAAGAUAGCUUGGUUUCGGAAUAUGGUUUCUUUGUUUGUUCCAUGUGUAGGUGACUCGAUAUCUCGGGAGAGUAUUUGCGGUGAUGGACCGGGAGUCGGCUUGGGGAUAAGACGACGUCCGUGGUGGUCAGAGAUCAUGCGGGAUACUUAGGCUAGAGUUGAUGGAGUUUCCAUAUGGCAUACGAUGGAGUUAUUGUGUGCGUAUGGGAUGCGGAGUCGAAUUUGGAAGGAGUCCAAAUUUGGUACGAUUGGUUAUGUAAAGUUUCUUUCUUGUACUAGUGGGUUUCCUAAGGUGUUUAGGACUCCUAGUAUGAGUUUGGUUCGUGGCUUUAGGCUGCCUACCUCAUGUAUAAAUAGAGGGGGGGCGUGAGGCUUUCCGAUAUCGCUUUAGAGACCAAUUGAGUUGAGUUUUGAGUUAGGGUUUCGAGUUUAGUCGAAAUUUUUGUAAGGAGUGCUGUUGGUGCACUUUGUAAAUACAGAGAGAAGUAAUAAAGUCGUCAUCUACUUUAAGAGUUCUUCGAUUUGUGUUUAUCGGGUUUCGGCGGUCUAACCGGCGAUCUACCGGCGGUCAGACCGGCGGCAAGCGGCGGUCAGACCGGCGGCGUACAGGCGGUCAGACCGGCGGCAUCCUAGCGGUCAGACCGGCAAGGCAACUUCGGUCAGACCGAUCUUCAUCGAUUUCGAGGGUAAUUUUUAUUUCCGCUAAAAGUUUUCGGUUUUUGGGUAUACCAACCAUUCACCCCCCUCUGGUUGGCUUAGUUCUUGUGAUUCGAUCCUACAACUUCUAUCGUCUGUAAAUAUUUUUUUUAGAUAAAUAGUGUACAAUAACCAUUUCACUGUUUACAAUCAUUUCUAGCUUCUGCGUUUUACAAGCAAAUAGUUAGCUGAGUUUGCUUCCAAGCAGACACAAGCUUUAUCACUCAUCCUCCUCCGAGAUUUCAGUUAGCCAAGAGGAUAAAUGGUAAGAACCCACCACAUGUGGCACAGGCUCGUCAUCACAGAAGAAUGGCCUAGAAGGCAAUUGCAGACUAUCAACACCACCUUCAAGCAUCUCAAUGACCUCACUCAUUGUUGGCCGAUCAUGAGACUUCAUCUGAAUGCAAUGUAGCCCAACAAUGCACAACUUCUUUUCCAACUCAUGCAUAUUAAAGGCAGUGACCACCUCACCCAACUCUUGUUGAACCAGCUAAUUAUACACCCAUGAUGGAUAAUACGCUUGGCUUGAGCUCGACAUAUCCUGCUUAGAGUUCCUUCGCCCUCCAACCAUCUCCAACAGAAGCAUUCCAAAGCUAUACAUGUCAGAUUUGCUAGAUAUGGCACCAAAGCUCCGAGAUAUCAUCUCAGGAGCAAUAUAACCUAUUGUUCCCCUUGCAGCGCUAACAGGCACAAAACUAUUAUCCCGUGGCAUGGGUACAGUUUGACGAGGCCAAAAUCGGCAACUUUUGGGACGAAAUUGCUGUCAAGAAGGAUGUUGUGCGGCUUGAUAUCAAAAUGUAGAAUCUGCAUCUCACACCCCUGAUGCAAAUAGUUUAUUCCUCUGGCAAUGCCCAAUGCAAUCUCGUUGAGCUUGUCCCAGGAGAAUCUCAUGUCAUGUGAAAAGAUGAACUUGUCGAGGGAUCCAUUAGGCAUGUGCUCGUACACCAGUGCCCUCCUCACUUCCUCUGCACAAAACCCUACUAAACGAACCACAUUGACAUGGUGAAUCCUGCCAAUGGUGGAGACUUCACUGAUGAACUCUUCUCCAUUACAAUUGUAGUUUCCCAGCACCUUGACAGCCACAUGGACAUCACCUGGGAGUAGAACACCUUUAUAUACAGAGCCAUAGCCUCCUUGGCCGAUCUUCUCCCUGAAAUGCCCUGUUCAGUGUAGGCAUACCUCGUCGGACCAAUCAUCAGUUGCAUCCGGAGAAACUUCUCGACUGCAUCGAUUAUCAUCCUCCUCUUCCAAUACUUGUGCACCAGAAAGGUCAAUACUACUAAGGGCGGCAAAAUGAACCUGCAGGAUACUGCAUAAAAGGGAAGUUUACAGAUAGUUCAUUGGUAUAACAAGAAUGUGCUUAAACUUUAAAUGGUUGGUGCCUUGAUGCAGCAUCUACCUAGUUGUAGUGAUGCAUAUUUUGUAAAUAUAUAAUUCCUCAGUCACACAUUAAUUGUUACUGUGACACUAGCCUAAUUAGCUACCAGUUAGCAUUUGAGCAACAUGUUAUAUCCAAGUAAUUGCCGCUUUUGUAAAAAUUUUAACAAGGGAAAUAUAGCUUAAAAUAAUGUAAAACAGAGUAUGGAAAAUAUUGCUACGGCAACAAUACACACACAAAAGGACAUUUUAACGGGAAGAGCAAUAUCGAGCAGUAUGAGUCGUAAAAUUAAAGCACAACAACACAACGUUCAGAUAAGUGUGUCUUUGCAAGCUCCAAAACAAUGGCCAUUGACACCAAGUACAGCAAAGCUAAGGAUACAAAGAAGUUAUAUAAUCUGAGAUUGGACAUGUACAAUCCAGUGGUGGCUAGGAGUGAUUUAAUUUGGUGAUGUGACGCCUUAUAGGAGGAUCAUUUGUUUAAGCAUAUUGGGGUGGGGGGGGGGGGGGUUCUUAAUUUACCAGCAAUACACUUCAAAGUCCAAACGGCAAUUGGUGUUCUGCGAAUGAACAAUUGGAUAGCCAUCACAGCUCUAGUUGGUCUAGAGCCUUGAGUUGCACAUUGCAAGAUACCAUAUUCAAUUAACGAAACUAGCUCAAUCCUAUACUGGUUGCGUUCACUAGACUUGGGUUGGUCACCGUCACGGAUGUCUCUGCAGAGUACACACAAUAUGAAUUUAAGAUGCAUGCAUCCAGCAGUUAUAAGAGAAGGCCAUAUAUAUGUUAGUUAAAUUGAGAAAUAGUACUGUAAUGAUUUCACAAAUGAUCGAUGUUGAAAACUUACUGAAGUAACUCUGCCAUGCACUCUUUGAAACUGGAGUACAGAUUAAUUGUGUCAGGAAACUGAAUGGCGAAUCCACCUCUCAUUAGUUUGACGACAUCCGCAUAGCUUGCAUUCGGAUGUAGCCAGGCACUCGCCACAGGAGUCAUGGCCAGGUACCCACAAGAAGGCUCGAGACUCUUGAUAUAAUUAGCGAACCAGCCAGUUAGCACGUAAACGAAUGAGCUGCUGUUGCUUAGGCAAGCGACAGGACUGUACAUCCCAUUGUUCGUUACUUCCCGCGAACAAGUCACAAAAGCAGCGGUUAUGGUCGAAUAAGAUGGCAUCAGCUCUUGGACGAUGUUGCGGCUUGAGUCUUCGACAACCCCGUACCUUCGGUAAGGAGUGCGAUUCCAGCGAGGAAGAGGGCAACUGUUACUUGAAUCCAACAUGUUGGCGUCCACGACACUGAAGGUAGCAUCGGUGUAGUUGAUUCCCCUCACAAGGUACGUUCCGUUGUCGACCUGAAUAAUAGCCUUGUCAUCGGUGCAAGUCAGCUCGUACGACGCAACGCCGCACUCCGGCGGGUCACCUCGCCGGCGGAACGGGUACGACGCGUUCCUGAGAUGGGCGCCACAGGUGAACGUAGGACACUCAGGCUGAAGCUGAAUCUGAUGAUGCCGCCGCCCACCUGCAUCUGGGACAAGAACCGCAAGCACGCACAAGACAUAAAUGACCUGAAGCGCGGGUGAGCGAUAGAACAACGAACCAGGAAUCGCCAUGGCAGCUUAGUUUGCAGGGCCAGAGCCGGAGAUGAACGAUGAAUCAGACGUACGCAUAUAUACAUAUAUAUACAUACAUAUACAUAUAUGUACAAUAUUUAUUCGGCUGAAUACUAUUCAGUUUACUGUUUAUUCGGCUGAAUACUAUUCAAAAACACUAUUCAGUUUACUGUUUAAAUUACUGAUCAAAAAACACUGUUCACUUUGAGAGAUAUUUUAACUUUAGGAUCUUUGCAGGGUGGCGAAUCCUAUUUAGACAGCCUCAGAAGCUUGUUUCAGAUGAUGUAAAGUCCUACUCGGUACUCACCGUAUGCCUCACCUAUCUGUCUUUUUAGAAGCAACUUAAAAAGAUAUUCCAAGUCACACUUGUUCUAGCUAAGAGUUUAUCGUCUCCCCAGGCAGUUCCACCCGAAGGGAACACUUCUCUACGGAUACCGAUUCUCCAGAUGCCUAUGCAAGAUGCAGGCUAAAAACGAGAACAAACCGAAGAGGUUUCUCCUAUAGGGUCCUUAGCAUAAACACUUGUCUAGAACAAACGUGCAGGAAUACUUAAGGAAAAUUACUUCAUAUUAAACAGAUAAGCUUACAUAUGGUUUUCCCUUUCGGGAAACCCGAAGGUAGGUACAAGCAAGCUGUUCUUACCUUACACAGCGUUAUUACACAACUCCUUGCUUCAAUAUACUAUGCAAGGUAGGCUAAAGUCACUACUACUAAGAAUUGGUGGAAUGGAGGGUGAGAGCGCGCUUGGAAGCUUUGCUCUGAAUGGUGUCUUCGUUGUUCUUCUCAGCUUGAGCAAACCCCUCCUUUUAUAGAAGCUCGGGAGGCUCGACUGUGCUUCAAGCUUAUCUUCUAGAUACUGUAUUUUCACGAGCUGGCUCGCACCAUGGAGAUGCUUAUCUUCUUUUUGGCUUUACUUUGUCCUUGAAUUGGCCAAGGUGGAGACACCUCUGUACCUGCGCCUUUCUUUUCCGCCGAAAGCAAUAUUCUCCACAGUAUUUUUAACAGUCAAAUGUCAUUCACUGUCCUUGCAUUUUGGAUUGAUUCAAAUUCAAUUCAUACUUUGGUCAUUCGCAAAUAUAGUCUUCCCACGCCCAAAGAAUGGAUAUUUAUUAUCAAUUUAUAUUAUAUUGCUUUAUUGGUCAGGCUGCCCAUGACCACCUAAAUCCAUAGUAUCUACAUCAGAAAAGGAGACUUCAAAUUUUUCAUCAUAUGCUUUUUUCAUUUCUUCAAAUUUAUCAUUCAUUUCUUUCUUUAAUUCUUUAAGUAUUUCUUCUUUCAAUUCUUUUUUAAUUUGGGGGAUGCUUCUUCAAAUUUUUCAAUUAUUUUCCAAUCGAUAUAUUCGCCAUCCAAAGGAUCUACUCCCUUAGUCAAGCAUUCCUUAUACGUAGGUUUUUGGGAUGAUCCUUCAUUCUUAAUAUUUGAACAAUAUGGGUUCUCUGGAGCUUUCUUAUUUUUGGCUUUUUUGCAUUUUUGUAUAUAUUCUUUUGCUGCUGGUUCCAAGUAGUAGUUUAUUCCUAAUAUUUUUCUGGCCUGAGUUAAAGCUUCAUCAAAAUCUAUAUAUUUUUUCCAUGACAAUCCACCCAUUAAUUUUGCAUCUAUUUUUUGGGCUACUAUCUCUUCAAAAGAUAUGUACACUCCAGGAAGCUUUCCGUCAAAAACAACAUAUAUGGGUUUUUGCUGUAUUACUUCAUUAUUUUCUGAUGUUGGCAUUAUAUCAUUCAUUAGAUGGAAAUAUUCAGCAAGACUGUUUAAUAUUGAUAGCAUAUAGCCUUUUUCUUCCCUCUUAUUAUUGUAUUGAUACCAGAAAUUAUCUAAAAUGCAUUCUUGGACUUCAUCUAAUAUUAUGUGGGUUUUGGCUUAAACUUAUAGGUAUUCGGUGGGAAUACUUUGAGCUUAUUGUCUUCUCCAAACGUGAAGAACUCAACUCCAUUAUAAUUCAUGGACUUCUUCAUUCCUGCAAAAUAGGCAAUCGCGAGAGUAGAUCAGGUAAAUGAUUAUCUUUUCCCUUAAUAUGUUCAAAUAUAACUUUAUAUCCGUUGCCAGUAAUGAUAUCUUCAAAUAAAAUCCACCUCCUAGUGGAACUCUUUUUGCUAUUAAGCUGAUUAUAAUAUCUACAUAUAGCUUCGCAAUCUGUUCUAACCGUAAAUUCUUUGAACCCUAAAUAUAACCUAAAGGCAUUUAUCGCAUUGAUUAUUGCAAGUAUUUCUCUAUAUGUAUUGCCUACGGUUUUUAAUUUAUAGCUUCCAGAAGCAUACCUACAAACUUUUUCUUCUGACUUAGAUGAAUAUUUAGUAGGCCUUUGUUUUAAUACAGCACCCCAACCAAGCUGCGAUGCAUCAGUUUCAAUAAUAAAGUAACUCUCUUCUAAUGGUAAUUCUAGAGGUUUUAAUUCUUUCACCCUCUCUUUUAUUAAUCUUACUAAUUUGAUGUCUUCAGAAUUAAAAUAUCUCUGACCAUUUUUUCUUAAUUUAGCAUAUAACGGUCCUGCUAACUUUGCUAAAUUAUUGAUGUGAUUUCUAGCAUAAUUUACAAGUCCUAAGAAUUGCUGUAAUUUCUUUUUAUCAUUCAUAGCAUCAGGAAAUUCUAAAAUUUUCUUAGCAAUAUGUUCUUGCAAAUGAAUUUUGCCCUCUCCUAUUUCAUGUCCAAGGAAGUUAAUUUUUUCUUUGCAUAUUUCCAUUUUCUUUUUGGAUAAUAUUAACCCAUUUUGUUCCACCUUUCUAAAAAAUAUUUCAAGAUGAGCAAUAUGUUCUUUGUAAGUCCUUGAGAAGACUAACAGGUCAUCUAUGUAGACUAAUAUGAAUUCUUGGUUUUCGUUAAAUAUAUUCUGCAUUUUCCUUUAGAAAAUUGCUGGUGCAUUUUUUAAUCCUAAUGGCAUAACAAGCCAUUCAUAAUGUCCUUGAGGACAUGUAAAUGCAGUCCAUUCUAUAGAUUCUUCUGCCAUCUUUACUUGCCAGAAUCCAGCUUUCAAGUCAAAUUUUGAGAAAUAUUUACUACCUUGUAUUCUAUUAAUCCAUUCUUGCUUAUUUGGGAUAUUAUAGGCAUCUUCUAUAGUAUUAUCGUUUAGUCUUUUAUAAUUUAUGACCAUCCUAGAUUUACCUCUAACUUCUUCUGCAUGAUUUCUUACUAUGAAUGCUGCAGACCUGUGUGGACUUCUGCUCUCUCUUAUGGCUCCUAGUUUCAACAGUUCUUCUAUAUGCAUCUUAAAUUCUUCUAUGUCUUUCGGAGUUGCUUCUAUUGGGCUAGUCUUAAUGAUAUAUUCUGGGUUGAUUAUAUUAAUUUUACACUCAAUAGCAUUUUUCUCCCAAUAUUUCAUAGGAAUUUCUCCUAUAAUUUGGAUAUCUUCUAAUCUUUGAAUAAUUUUUUCUAUAUCCCUUUUAGACUUAAUAUCUCUAUACCAAUUUGGUGCAAAUGCUUGUAGUCCUAUGCACUCUAUGUUGGAAUUUGAUAUAUAAUAGUUGUCUAUAUUCUCACUAAGCUCAUAUUCAUUAAUUCUUUCUUCAGGCUCAAGAUUGGGUACUUCUAAGUUGUCGAGUUUGGGGGAGACUCCACCACGCUUUCGUACCUCUGAGAUAUAUGGAACAUUAUUUUGAUAUGGGAUAAAAGUAAUUCCUUGCUCAUGUAUUACUGUGGUUUGUACUGAUUGUUGAAGGAACCUUAGGACAAUUAUCAUGUCAUCAUUAAUCAUUGACAAAUCUCUUAUUGUAAUCUCAUCUAUUAUAUAUUUAGUUGCAUUAAUGUAAACCUCCAUAUUAUAAGCUAACUGAUUAUGAAUUUUCUUUAUUCCGGACAUGUCUGUGGAAACUUCUGCCUUAUUGUCGUCAAUUGUGUGAACUAUUUCAGGACAUCUUAUGAAAUAUUUGUCAUGAAUAAUAUUCUUUGUACACCCGGUGUCUACUAGUGCUAAUAUUUUAUAAGAUACUUUGGGUGUCAAUUUUAUUUUAACAGGGAUUCUUAUACCUAAUAUUUCUUUGAAAGGCAAUCUUACUAUAUAUUUUUUUCCAAAAUUAGUUAUGGCCUCUCUUAGUUGAAUUAUUUUAGCAGUAUUACUGUCUUUUAAUGUUAUCAAUUGCUCUUUAAAUUCGGUGUUUUGUAUGUCCUUAUUCUCUGGUAAUGCCUUAAUAUCGCAAUUAUUUUUUAGGUUCUCUAAUUCUACUUCUAGUUUAUUUAGUCUAUUUUCUAACACUCGUACUCUACUAGAUAAAGUCUUUUCAUCUGAUUCUAAUUCUAUUUCUUUUCUCCAUUUUUGUUUAUUUGCUUUUAUACAUUCAGCACAAGCUUGUUUUAGACAUAUACUACAAGUCACUCUAUUUUCUUGACUAGGGUAAUAUAUGCAAAAAGCACAUUUGAUAUUAUAGUCACCCUUUCCUCUAAUCCAAUCAUGUUCACAAUUUAAUUGAUCCAUCAUUUCAACCUUUAAACCUGCUAAUUCGUCAAUUAAAUCUAACUCUUCAUCGGAUGAUUCAUAUUCUUCGUUGAUGGUUUCAACUUCGUCUGUUUCUAUGAUAGAAUAUAUUGACUCGUCAUCUUUUAUUUCAUCAUCACAUACUAAUAUGUUUUCAUUUACGCUAUCUAUAAUUAGAAUCCUCUCUUGUUCUUCAUAUUUACUAGAAUAUCUCUUUUGAUCUUUAUUUGGGCAUGUUCUACUUAAAUGAUCUGGCGAGUUGCAUAUAAAACAUCUGCAUGUUUUGUCAUAGGUUUUCUUUGGAUUAUAUCUUCUUACAUUUCUUUUAUGUAAGAAGGGUGCUCUAUUAUCUGAUCUUCUUAAGAAAUACCUUUUCUUCGUUCUAAUAUUAUUAUGGUUUCUAUUUUGAUGUUUAUAAAUUCUUUUACUUCUAGGCUUGUCUUCUCCAUAUGACAAGGGUAUUUGAACUAUUUUAUUGCAGAAAUUGUAAUCCGAGUGUUUCAUAGAUCUUUGGGCUUGGAUACCCGUGCAUAUUUUUCUUAGUUGCUUAAACACAAAAGUUAUGGCUUGAGAGAUGUUGAUUUCAGCUCCUUCAGUUUCCUUUUUAUAUUCUUCAAAUAUCAUACUUCCUAGUGGGUCAGGUAAUUUAUUGAAAUAACGUUCAACUAUACCCCUGUUAUAUCCUUGUUUAGCAGUUGUAGCAUUAUAUAAAUAAUGUUGGGAGAAUUCUUUUAUGCCUUUCCAACUUGUUAACGUUAAUUUUUCUAUUUCUUUUAACCUUUCAUUUUGCAAAGUUGUAUAACCUAAUUCCGGAUCUUCAGCUAUAAUAAUGUUAGAUAUAACAUUUGCAAAAUUAUGCGGAUUGCUACCAGCUCUUUUCAAUUCUUCAUAAUUAUUAGGAUUCUUUUCAACCCAUUGUUCCCAUAGAACCUUAGCAGAUUCACCUAAAAAUGUUUCUAAGUAGGUUAUCAUAUCUUCAACUUUACUUCCUAUAUUGUGCUGGUUUUGUAUAUAUUUUUGAACUAUUAAACAUUUCCAAAUACUAAUAAUAUUAGGCCAAUCAAUAGGGUCAUGUGCGGCUAAAUUUAAUAUAGCACCAUCACUCCUCUGGUUUUGAAAUUUAACAGGCUUCUCAAAGUCUCUUCUCUUAGUACCCAUGUGCCUAUAUUGACCUGGUAUAUAGUUAUACGAAAAUUCUUCUCUAUCAGGGGGCCAUUUUCCUGCUGCCCUAGCUGGUCUUUCUCUUUCUCCUUCGUUUUUCACAGUACCUUCUCCAUAUCUUUUUCUCUUUCCUGUUCCUAAGUCCACUUCCAUAGCUUCCAUUGCAUUUUCAAGAUUAUGUAACCCUACUUCAUCUAAUGUGUUUAUAAAAUCAUUAUAUUGUUCUGCAUUGUCUAUUUCAUUUUCUAUAUUCUCCAUCUCAUUUAUUAGAUUAAUUUCUUCUUCAUAACUUUCAAGAAAUAAUUUUUCAUUCUCUGCCCAUUGCUCUUCUUCACUUAAAAUUUUACCAAGAUUUUGCUCUUCUUUGUCAUGCUCAUCUUGCUCUUUCUUCUUUAUCUGUUCUAUCUUGGUUUCUUGGUUUUUAAAAAUUUCUACUGCCAUAUCUUCGUUCUUCUUUACUUUCUUUACUCUGGCUAAUUCUCUAUAGAAAUAAAGUUCUUUAUCUCUUAUUUUAGGCCACUCACACUUCAUAGAGUUAUUAUAUUCUUCAUUUAUUUCCUUUAAUUUAUUUUCGUAAUAUUUUAUCUCACUUUCUUGAUCUAAUUUUUCCAUAAACUCUGAAACACUAUGUCUUCUAUUAUCUAUUAUAUUUCUAUCAGAUGCUUCUGUUUCUAAGUCAUCUGUGGUUCUGGGUUUGUAAUUUAUAAAUCUAAUGCUGGUAUUUCCUUUACUAUUUUGAUAACUUAUAUAAUUUUCAGGCUGACUCAAAGUUUUGCUUUCAAUUAAAUCACUAAUUUUCCAUUCUUCUCCUGCCCUUUCUUCAGAACUUAUUUUUAAAGGGCUCAUGAAAGUUAUUCCCUUAGAGUGCAUAUUUUCAAUCACGUCAUUUACAUUUAUUUUGUAUUUGGAGGCACUUCUAUUAGUUAAUCUUCCUAUAAAUUCUAUGCUUACUAGCAAAUUUGUUCCUUUAAAUUCCUCGUAUCCCUUUGUUUGAAAACCAAAACUCAUUUUAUCUAUAAAUUCUUUUAUAGGCAUCAUUAGAUCUGGGGCUAUAUAUGUUAUCAACAUAUUCUCAUUCAUGUCACCUUCUAAAAAUCCUAAUGCUGCUUUAUCUAUUGUGUCCCACCUUUUAUCUAACAGAGUUAUUAAAACUUUAGCUCCUAUUUUCUUUCUUGUCAUACCUUUGAUUCCUAUUAUAUACAUACCUUGGUGAAUAUAUUUAUACCCUGAAUACUUUAAUCCAUUUUCAAAUUCCUUGGCUACAAUUUUUAACUCAACUGGCUUUGUUAAAACGCUUAACUCUACUUCUCUAGAUAUUCUGUAUAACCCAUUUUUAUUCUCAAAAAAUCCCAUGCAAUAUAUUUGUUGAGGUCUUAUUGCCUUCAGAGUAUCUCUUUGAUAUCUUUCGAGCUGUUUGUCUACUUCUGCAAUAUCUUCAAGCUCAUCUAUGUCUUCUUUUUUACCUUUUUGUUUAUCAAUACAACUUAAAGAUUUAUCGUCUCUGCUUGCUAUUCUUCUAAACAAACUCCUAGAUAGGUCCAUUUUUAUGAAUUAAUAGCUUGAGACGAGGUAAUUAUGCCUGUUGAAGCCAAAACUAUCUCUUUUCCUUUACUAGAAUUUAUUAUUUCUAAUAAUUCUUUGAUAUAAUCACUGUUUUGUAAUAUCUUAUUCUGCCUUAUCUUAUAAUCCUCUAGCUCUUUUAGCACUGAAUUUAAUUUAUUACUGACAAGCAAAUAUUGUUCUUCAGAUUGCUUUCGUUCUUUAAACAAAUCUUCAAUCCUUCGCUCUAAAUCUUCCUGCUUUUUAUCCCAAUUUAUAUAAAAAUUAUAUAUCAGAUCAACAAUUAAAUUUAAUUGACUAUUGUUAGAGUGCCAACUAUGGUCUUCAAUGUGAUUUAAUCUACACCUUAUACUCAGAUUAUCUUUGGUAGUAAUUAUCUUUCCAAUAUUAGCUUCUGAAUUUGAUUUCUCUAUGAUGACUGGCUCUGAUACCACACUUAUGCUUCGGACAAAAAACACUGUUCAAAAACACUAUUUAUAUACAUAUAUAUAUAAAUAUACAUAUACAUAUAUAUAUAUAUACAUAUAUAUAUACAUAUAUAUACAUAUAUAUAUACAUAUAUAUACAUAUAUAUAUACAUAUAUAUAUAUAUAUAUACAUAUAUAUAUAUAUAUAUAUAUAUAUAUAUAUUACUCGUAAAUUAACGGACAUGUUUUUUCUUUGAUGUAAUAACCAUUGCCAUUUUCUUCGUCGGCCACCGUCUUCCGAAAACACAUUUUGCCAUUCUGGUAGAUGUUUGCACGCCGGAGAUGGGGAGAUGUGAAGUAAUUAUUUAUUCUUUUCAUAUCAUUUGAUUCAUUGUUAAAUAUACUUUCAUGUACGCAUAUAGCCGAUUUUUUUUAAUCUAAACACAUGCAGCCCUUUUAUUACGUAUUUGAGCACACCAUAUUUAUAAUUCCAUUUCUAAGCAUGUACAUGUACAGGACCACGUCAAUCCCUCGAUCUAAUGCCUAACAAAAUAAAUGUACCUUUUGCAACCUUGUUUCUAGCGAUAACGUCCACAAGUUAGAAGCCUGGUAAUGUAAACUCAUUUAUUUGUAAACUAGUAGCAAUUUCUUAGGUCUAUUAGCUUGCUAUAUUCAGUUUAUACUUAAAAAAUGUGUAACAAUGAUUUGUAAAAUCAAAAUAACAUAUUUUGAACCAUACUUAAUAAAUAUGUCAAACAUUAAUACAAAGUAACAAAACUCAAUUCAAUGGCCUAUUAAUUUGUUAGACAUUAUGUUAUGGAACAACACUUGGACAUUAUGUUAUGGAGCAAUGUCUGCACUUGAGCAUCUCGUCUAUGGAUUGAAAUAUGGGUUUGGCGUGCUUAUAUUUGGAAUUAAACUGAUGCAUGUGCUUACAUGUAAAAAAUCGGGCACAUAUAGUUUUAUAUAUUUCACAAAAUUUUUUAAAUAAGACGAACGGUCAAGCACGUACUAUAAAGUCAACGGUGUCAAACAUUUUAAAACGGAGGGAGUAUAUAUAUAGCAAUUAGUGAAUAUAGCUUUACUAGUAAGCGAAACAAUUCACUUUGGGCCUACUUGACUGUGAUGUUGUUGACUUGGAACUUAAUUGGAAGUCCUCAUUAACGAGAGACAAAGUUACACGUGGGCUCAGACGUGCUGUGGAUAAAUCGCGCCGGGGAGUGUGUGCUGUGAUUAGAUGGAGAGCGGGGCGGAGGAAGGCGAGAAAGGGGAUCACGUUCCGGGCCACACGUGGGCUCGUAAUCCCGUUCUGGGCCGACAACUCCAGGCCCAACACGUUUGACGGCCGCGAAAGCAUCGAAUUUUUUUAUUUAUACAUUUUUUUAUUAAAAUAUUUAAAAAAUAAUUUUUUUUUCGAAAAUUUACAAAUCUAAUCGCCUGCCGCCCUUUGGGAGAUCGCCCUUCCAGAGGGCGGACCUAAAUGCAAAUUUUCCAACACAACUUGUUAGCACUAUGAUUUUACAAUUUAAGAUUAUAUUAUAUUAAGUCAUAUGAAAUAAAACAUUAUAUCAAAAUUGUAGAGCUCAAGGAGAUCUACAACUUUGUAGUUAACAACCUUUUCAUUUAAGAUAUUUUAGAUAUCCAAAUAUUCGUUACAAAAUAUAAAACAUAUUUUAAAAAAUCUCAGAUCUACAUUUCAAACGAUAUUGGAUGGAAAUAAACUUUAUAUAAAAGUUGUAGAUCUUGAUGAGAUCUAUAAAUUUGUAGUUCAUCACUUUUCCAUUCAAAAUUAUUUGGAGUAUCAAAUAAGCAUUAUUAGUUUUUAAGCAAUUAAAACCGGUGGAAAGAGUUUGAACACAAAUAAAAAUUUUGCAUUUAGGUCCCUUGACGCUCUUUGGGAGGGCGAUUUUAAUAUUUUAAUAAAAAAAUGUAUAAAUAAAAAAAAUUCUGAAAGCAUCUAUGCACGCGCGCUGUGGUCGGCCUGCAAUGCACGCAAGGCGUUCUCCCAUGGUGGGUUGCAGCGCAGUUGAGACUGAUCUCUUACAAAAUGAUUCGACCCACAAGCUUAUCAAGGCAUGGAGGAAAGGAGAAGGUCCACUUUGACUCUCUUUAGCAGCCCGAAUCUAAUUCGUACCUGUUAACAAAAAAAAAUUGGGUAGGAUGACUCCUGAAACUAUUGAAACUGACUCUAUCAGUGGUUUUGAAUGAUGGUUUUGCUGAUGUGGCAGUGUUGAUCUGGUCUUCGUCCCAUGUGGCGUUGACGUGACGCUUAUGUGACAUUAGAAUAAAAGGUAUAUAUAUGAGACUCAUUCGUUAUUCACAAAAAAAAAAUAUUGUGGAACCCACUGACGUGGCGCUUAUGUCAUGCUCUCUCUCCAACCCUUCUUCCCACUUCCUCUCUCUCCUUAUUUCUCUUUCUCUUCCCCUUCAGCCGUCUAUGAGGAGCGGGGGCUGCAGUGGUGGCGGUGGGCGGGAGGGCGAGGGUGCUGGAGCAGUCGCGCCAGCCGGCAGCGAUGGGACGAAGAUACCUUUUCUUUUACAAAGAAAUUCAGCAAGCAUGAACCAAAUUGUGAGAGCUAGAAGCUCCGCCUGCUUCUCCAGUGCCCGCCAUACCACCCGUCACCGCCACCGUUCCAACCCCGUUCCCCGUAGAUGGCCAAGGGGAAGAGAAAGAGAGGAGGAGGAGGAAGAAGGGUUGGAUAGAGGAUGACAUGUGGACCCAACAUGUUAGUGAGUCCCAUUGUAGUUUUUGUGUGAAUGACAAAUGGGUCCCACAUACUUUUAAUUUCUAAUGUCACAAAAGUGCCACGUCAAUGCCACGUGGGGCGAAGACCAAGUCAGCACCGCCACGUCAGCGAAACCACCCUCCAAGACCGUAAGAGAGUCAAAUUACGUCGAUUUAAUAGUUUAGGGGAGUCGUCCUACCCAAUUUAUUUUAAGGGGUAUAAAUUAGAUACGGUUUAUUUUAAGAGAGUCGAAGUGGACUUUUUUCUUGAUAUGAUCUCGUCUUUGCCGUGGACCUUCAUCUACCCACCUAUACUCAUAAAUCACCUGGGCUUGCAAGCUACUCCCUCCGUCCAAAAAAAUACAAACCCUGGUUUCCGUGCCCAAUGUUUGACCGUCCGUCUUAUUUGAAAAAAUUAUGAAAAAAAUUAAAAAGACAAGUCACGCAUAAAAUAUUAAUCAUGUUUUAUCAUCUAACAACAAUGAAAAUACGAAUUAUAAAAAAAUUUCAUAUAAGACGAACAGUCAAAGUUGGACACGGAAAGCUAGGGUUUGCAUUUUUUUUGGGAUGGAGAGAGUACUUGAUUUGAUAUACCUGGCUCAACUCAAUCGUGCUGGAUAUAAUUUUUUCCCGGGCAAGUUACCUUAUAUUUAUAACGCAGUAACUAUUAAAAACACAGCUAUGCAUAGGAAAUCUACUAGUUAGAUAUUUUCUUUCCUGCUUAAUGAAGUGGCAGACCUCUGCUUCUUUAAAAAAACAUUUUCUUUUACAGAAAUAUAUAUAAAGAUCGAAAAGUGGCAUUUCAAGUCACCAACAUACUGAUGCAUUGUUUGUUUGGUUCAUUGAUUAGUGAAGGCUUGCAGCUGUGCAGCUGUGCGUGCAGGGCCGACGACGAGGGUAUGCGAAGUGAGGGAUCGAACAGGGUCGCUAAAAAUUAGGAGCCGCAAAUUUUUUAUAUUUUGAUCUAUGCCAACGUGUUUCAAUUUAUUUAAAAUUCUCUCGCUCUAUUUUUACAAAAUUUUACUCUUUCUUAUUUGUUGAUUUUGUUAGAACAAGCUUAUUUUUUUCAGCUACAAUAAGUGUUCGAUGGCAAUCACGACCAAUUCAAAGAGCCGAUGAUAUGGACGUGUCUUCUGUGCAUUAAAGAUUCCAUUCUUUUUUCUUAACAAAGAUAAAUCACUACAUCAUGAUAUAAUAUUUUUCUAAUAUUUAUCUUAAAAAUCUUCCGCUACUUGUUUCUUACGUAUUUUUAUGGACCUCAAAUUAUGUUUCACCGGGGCCUUAAAUUUCUAUAUACGGUCCUGUGUACUGUGCGUGCAAUGCUUUCAGCUUUCGUGCCGGUCAGACAAACAUGACCAGGGUGUAUACUGGUAGUCAGACAUGAACAGUUGUUACUCUCUCCGUCCCAUAAUAUAUCAAUCUAAUAUCUGAUGCGACAUUUCAUAGUACAAUAAAUCUAUAUACCCUCCUGUUUAGAUUCGUUGUACUAUAAAAUAUUCUAUCACCCUCCUGUUCAGAUUCGUUGUACUAUAAAAUAUUCUAUCCGGUACUAGAUUGCUAUAUUAUGGGAUGGAGAAAGUAUAUUGGAUUACAGCCCCAAGCGGUAACAACAGUAGGCUGUCUAAAUCGCGGCAUUUCCUUUCAGCAAAAACAGGGUACUACUUAUUAUCUCGGAGAGACGGAGACUUGACCAUCACUAUCGGAUCAAUGAGCUCUGACGUGCUCAUGCAGCACACACCACAGAAAAUGCAACAGCCAAACAACACAUGUGGCCAAUUCUCACACAUAACGAUAACAUCCCAAUCACAACUUUAUGAUAAACGAAAGCUUCCAUUCCAUCCAGUUCACGGCAAAGAGAUUACCCGGUCAGUCAAAGAUAGCAGCUGCCUCCUGCCGCUAUCCGCACUGACCUCUGGAGUCCACACAUCCAGGCUUGCAGUGAUCCGAAUGCCACAGCAAAGAAGAGAAGAAAUCAGGAAUGGAUUAAGUAGCAUUUUUUUUCAGCAACCAUUCAGUAGCACUUUCUAAAAUACAACCUUUAUCGGUUGUAAAUCAUAAAUAAAUAGUGUAAAAUAAAAUAUAUCACUGUUUACAGUUAAUAUUUCCAGCUUCAGCAUUUUACCACCUACCUACAAGAGCUAGCUACUAGCUAGCUGAUUUGGCAUCAAAACAUGCAUAAGUUCACUCAUCCUCCUCUAAGAUUUCAGUUAGCCCAGAGGAGAAUUGGUAAGAAUCCAUCAUAGGUGACAUGGACUCAUCAUCACAGAAGAAUGGUCUUGGAGGCAUCUGCAGGCCAACAACGCCACCUUCAAGCAUCUCUAUGACCUCGCUCAUCGUCGGCCGAUCGUGAGACUUCAUCUGGAUGCAAUGUAGCCCGAUUAUGCACAGCUUCCUCUCAAGCUCAUGCAUGUUAGCAACAGUAGCAGCAGAUAUCUCACCAACACCCACCUGUUGCUCUAUUAGCCGGUCAUACACCCACGACGGGUAGUAGGCCUGACUUGAGUUCCCUGCAUGCAUGUCUGAGUUCCUUCUUCCUCCAGCCAUCUCCAGCAGCAGCAUUCCAAAGCUAUAGACAUCGGAUUUGCUUGAUAUAACGCCAAAGCUCCGAGAUAUCAUUUCAGGAGCAAUAUAACCUAUUGUUCCCCUUAAGGCGUUGAGCGGCACAAAACUGUUGUCCCUUGGGUACAGUUUGGCGAGGCCGAAAUCAGCAACCUUUGGAACAAAGUUGUCAUCAAGAAGGAUGUUGUGUGGCUUGAUGUCAAAGUGCAGUAUCUGCAUAUCGCAACCUUGAUGAAGAUAGUUGAUCCCCCUAGCAAUACCCAAAGCUAUCUCAUUGAGUUUGUCCCAUGAGAAACUUCUCUUGGAUGAGAAAAUGUACUUGUCUAGAGAUCCUCGUGGCAUGUACUCGUACACAAGUGCCCUCCUCAGUUCCUCUGAACAAAAACCAACAAGACGAACUACAUUGACGUGGUGGAUCCUACCAAUGGUGGAGACCUCACUGAUGAACUCUUCACCGUUGCAGUUGGCAUUUUCCAGCACCUUGACAGCCACAUUAACAUAACCUGGGAGAACACCUUUGUAUACCGAGCCGUAGCCUCCUUGGCCAAGCUUCUCACCGAAGUGACCUGUAAUUGCAGUGAGGUCAGUGUAGGCAUACCUUGUUGGGCCGAGAGUUAGUUGCAUCUGGAGGAACUUCUCUACUGCAUCAAUUGUUAUCUUAUUUCUCCAAUACUUGUGGGCAAGGAAGAUGAAUACUGCUAAUGGGGCCAAUACGAAUCUGCACAGUACUGCAUAAGAGCAAUUUACCAUAAAACAAUUAUGGAUUAACCUAGCAAGAAUGUAGUAAGACAAUACACUCUGCGUCUACAAUGAGGUAUAAUGUAAUGACUCUAAAUUACCAGCAGUCCACUUCAAAAUCAGUAGGGCUGUGUCGACCACCAUGUACGUGUAGAUGAGGUUAUUAUGUGAUCUAUCUCCAAGCAGGAAGCACGACCAGAAAUAGAAGUCAAUGAUAGCAAUAUUCGCAAUCCUUUCCUUGCUCCCUGUACCUGUCUGGCUACAAGACCAUGGGGUAAAGAAAUGAGUAAGACAUGGCUAAUCGUAUUUGAGGGCUUGUUUGGAUUGGAUUACAGCCAUCGUUAACCUUAGCAAAAUAUUAUGUGGGAGAGUGAAACUACAUUAUUUGACAGAUUAACUCACCGGAUUGACAGUGCCAGGCAUUCUUUGAAGUUCCACCCACUAACUGUGAAAGGAAAUCGAACGGCAAAUCCAGUCAUCAUUAGCUUUACAACAUCCUGAUAGCUUACAUUCUGCAGCGCCGACGUGCUGUUCAACUUGCUGCCACCCAAAGGAGUCGUGGCCAGGUACCCACAGGAAGGCUCAAGGUUCUGAAUAUAAGCAGAUUGUUGGCCAGUAAACACGUAAACGAAGGAUCUGCUGGUGCUCAGGCAAGCGACGGGCAUGUACAUCCAACUGCUGUUCCUUAUUUCCUGCGAACAAUUGACAAAGCUAGCCCAGGUAACCCCUACUGGAGGUGCCAAUUCAAUGAUGUGGUGUGACUUGGCCUGGAGCCUGGGAUCACGAAGAAGGGGGUUCCAGCGAGGAAGAAGGCAACUGCUACGUGAAUCCAAGAAGCUGGCAUCGACGACCCACAAGGUAGAAUCACCAUAGUUGAUGUCACUUACAGAGUAUGUCUCCUUGUCGAUCUGAAUUGUAGCCUUGUCGUCUGCACAAGUUAGCUCGUAGGAUUGAACACCGCACUCCGGCGGGUCACCUCGCCGGCGGAACGGGAACGACACGUCACUGAGAUGGCCGCAUGUGAACGGAGGGCAGUCAUGGCGCCGAUGAUGCCGCCGGCCACCUGCAGCAUCUGGAACGAGAACCCCAAGCACACACAAGACAUAAAUUACUCGCAUGACAGUAGAGCAAUGCAGAGCACCAUGAAUCGCAAUUGCCAGGUUCAAAGAAAAGCGCACAGGUCAGAACAAGAUGGACGAACGACAUGGUUGAUAUUGCAAGCGCUUCCGUGUUCCAGUUGAAUAAGCAAAAAGAAAAAAAAAUAAUAUCCGAAUACCUGAGCAAUGACGUGUUUAGCUAAUCAGGGCUGCCUGCCCUUGACUGUGAUGCUGUUGACUGAGAGUCUGAGACAGAUUCGUUCGUUUAGGAUAGCUUAACAGACAUGUCCAUAUAUUCUCCCUUCAUCAUCACUUCCGAAUACCUGAACAAGUUUUGCUGCACCUCGUUGGUCUGGGAAGUGGGACUGAAUGGUACUCUUCUGUCUUCUUCUGUCUCAUCAACAGCAUCUCAGUCAAGAUCAGGCAAUGCAGCCGCUGGAAGUUACACCGAAAGCUGCAAUUACCUGCCAACAAACCUUUAAAAAAAGAUUAUCACCAGUCUCUCCUUUACCACCAUAAAGCUUCACCAUGUCAACUUCACGAGUUGAUUUCAACAUCACCAAAAGAAAAAAAAAAGUCUCAUGUACUAGCUUUAGAUGUUAUCAAGGUUAUUGGAAUAGUAGCCGGAAUAAAUCGGUAGUGUAAAAUCAAGGGCAUGGGGGAGCCAAAAAUGAUAAGGAAUACCUUUUGAAGAAAUAGAACACGUCAAAAGUUUCAUUGGCUCUGCUCAGAGCCUCAGACAUCAUAGCAAGCACAGCAUCAAUCGUCACCGAGAAAACAGGUG